This 69463-nucleotide long non-coding RNA is filed under the name Brachypodium distachyon (stiff brome). RNAcentral describes it as "long non-coding RNA (BDIS_LNC002744)". The stretch from base 36947 to 37082 matches the Rfam family "MIR1120/MIR1122 microRNA precursor family". The record is from RNAcentral. Lineage: Eukaryota; Viridiplantae; Streptophyta; Magnoliopsida; Poales; Poaceae.
CUUAGGAAUGUGAGUUUCGGGAGGCUACAAAAAUCAUCAGGGAGCUUUUGAAUGGCACGGCACUCUGACAUGUCCAGGUGUUGUAAACGUAUCAGCUCACAGAUUGACGCGGGCAACUCUUGGAGUUUAUAACAUCCAAAUAAGUUGAGGAAAGAAAGUUUAGAGAGUUUCCCCAAUGAUACAGGUAGCUUACUGAGGCUGCUAUUACCAGAUAGGUCCAAAUAGCAAAGUUUCUGCAGGCUACAGAUUUUGUCAGGCAAGGUUUCAAGUGAGCAUUUUGACAGAAUUAGAGUUUGCAUGUAUUGAAGUGUGUGGAAAGACUUUGGAAGGGAUGCAAUUGGCAAGGCAGUAGCAUCAAGGUACCUAAGUAGCUUUGAUUGAUGAAUGGAAGAUGGCAGCACUAUGUUGCUUGGAGUGGAUUGACCUUCAACUGAACAUCCACCAUGGUCCAAGUUGCUUGGAAUAGAUUGCCCUCUAACUGAGUGCCCAUUUAAGUCCAAGACACGCAAAUGCUUGGAUCGAGAAAAUGCCAUUCGGGGAAGCUGUUGUUUUCUUGAAUCCCUAAAAUGGAGGGAUCUAACUUUAGCUGGCAGAUCUCUGAAAACCUUUGAUUGAUUCUGGUAGUUGAUCAGUUGUGCGUGUCGGCAAUAACGAGAUUUUCUCCAAGUACUUGGUUCAGGUUCAUUAGCAUCCAGAACAGCAAAUUCACUGGCAGUAAUUGUUGAAGCAAGAUCAUGAACCAAAUCAUGUGUGGUGAGCUCCUGAGGAGCUGUUGCAUGAGCUGGACUUGGACUAACCUGAAGAAACAACUACUAUUAAAACAGGAUUGCAAGAUAAAAUGCAGAAUCCAAUGAACAUAUUUGGCAUAUGUACCAAUUUAUUAAUCGUAUACGGCUAACCAUUUUUAUUGUUUGUCUUACAUUUAUACUAAUUUUUUCCAUGGGGACUUAUCACUAUUAUUAAGAUGGCAACCGUGGUAUCAUUAGCACAUAUGCCAAUUUCAACAGCGCUAUAAAAAUAUAAAAUAUGAUUACCAUUUAAUGAUAAGUCCCUUGGCAUGGACAAGAACUUUUGCCCCCCGGGCUAAUGGGAGCCUUUUUAUUAAAAUAACAAAAUUCAUAUUUAAAGGUUUUGAUUUUUUUCGUUGUAAGUGUAGAUGUAUUCUAGAUGCCCAUACAUUUUUGUCAAAAGAUACAUUGAUUUUUGCUCUGUGCAAAAAUCACAAAUUUGUAGAUCUAGACUAGUAAAGUGUUGAUCUAUUUGAAAUCUACAUAUUUGUGAAUCUUGAACAGAUCACGAAUUAAAGUAUUUCUUGACGAAAAUUUAUACGUAUGUUGAAUUCCUCUAUAUUUACACUGGGGAAAAAUUCAGAAGUUUUUGAAACUCAGAACUAUGGUUUCAUUUUUUCCAAAAGAAAGGGUUGAAAGGAGUCCAAGCUCCAAAUAUCAUUUUCACCUUGGUACAGCCGGGUAAGUAAAAGAAAAUAGUUCUGUCUACUCUAAUGAAUAUAAUAUGCACAAAUAAUUGAUUAGUACCAUCUCUGUAUAUCUUAAUGUUUAUUUAUUAUGUGAAUAAUACUAGCUAAUAAAUGCUUCUUGAUUUUUUCCAAAUUCGAGUAAAUCUCAAGUAAAAUUAUUUAAAUAUUACCAACUGAAAAAUAGAAUUAAAAAAAUUUAAAUUUAAAUUUGUCUAUAAAAUAUUUAAUCACAUAUCUGAAAUAAAAAAUUAUAACAUAUGAAAAGCUAAACUGAAAAUGUUUAAAAUUUAUGCAAACAGCAUAAUGGAAAUAACCGGCACGUAUGUCUGAAUGUAAGUACAAGUUGAGUUCUACAUACCGAGGACGACCGUGAAAUUUGUAGGAAUGACAUCCCUAGAAGGUACUUGAUACACCUUUCACCGUCAUCCUUUGCAUGAAUACAACCAAGAGCGAUCCAUUGCUGGAUUAGGCGAUUGGCAUCAACAACGAAGCCCUUUGGGAAGGCUGCUAAAUAUGUAAAACACAUUUUGAAUUCGACCUUCAUGUAGUAAUAGCUGAGCAUGAGGCGUUCUAGUGUGUCCUUUUGGUCUCGCGAGCCCAAAUCAAUCUCUGUGUCUCUUAUAUCUUCCCAUGCCUUGAAUGUCCUUGGAUCCGACAACACUCUUCCGAGAGAAUUUGCUAUGAGUGGUAUUCCUCCACACUUUGCUGCAAUUUUCCUUCCAAUUUCUUCCAAGCCACUUUGAUCAUCGUCAGGCCGGAAUAUUAUUUGCUUCAUUACUUGCCAGCAGUCAUCACGUGAUAAAAUACCCAGCUUGAUUUGCUCAGACUCUGGCACGGGGCGGACUAUCCCCUGGUUUGCAAGAACACCGGUGCUCAUUUUUGCCACUACGUUUUGAUUACGCGUAGUAACUAUAAUCUUGCUACCCUUGCAUCCAUAUUGUAACAUCCGCUUCAACUCUUCUAGUUUUUUUCCAUCUUCUUCCCAGAGAUCAUCCAGAACAAUUAAGUAUCUUGUGGUAGCAAGUUCAGUUUUUAAUUUAUCAUGUAGAAACUGCAAAGUGCAAUUGUCAACAUUGAUACAGCUAUUUAUGCUUUUGAUGAUGGAACUCGCAAUUUUGCGCAAAUCAAACUGCUCAGAGACGUGAACCCAGGCUUGGAAAUUGAAGAUGUUGACCCUCCCAUCUGCUAAAACUGAUUCUGCCAUUGUUGACUUCCCUAGACCACCAAGCCCAACAAUUGGAAUGACAGAGAUAUUCUCACUAGCUUCACCUUUCAGUAGCAGGUUGACUAUUUUUUGUUUCUCCGCAUCCCUCCCCACCAUUCCAGUUUUAGUGCCGUGAUCACCGAUGGCUGCAAAAGUUUCUUCGCUUCGGUUCCCUUCUGCCCGUGCUUCACGACGCACAAGAUUGAGCGUCGGGCUACCGGCCUCGAUUUCAGUUUUGCUUAUUUUCCCUUUCACACUCUUCAUAUGGUGGGCGAUGGUGAUUCGUUGGAGGAGUUGAUUGUUCCGGGAAAAGAAUAACUUGAGCUGUAAAAAAAUAAAGACAACAAUCAGUUGUCAUUGUCUUUUCAUUUCAAGUUUCACAGUCACAUGUUGGUGAACUAGACUUCAGAGUUUACGAAUCAUGAGAAUUAUUUCAGAGUUCAAAAUCUUCUGAAAACACCGCAGAUCUUCAGAAAAUUGCCUCAAUCCUUGUUUGAAGUUAUUUUGACACAGUCAACUUUUGAGAUUGAACAUUUGCAAUAUGAAUCUUAAUAUAUUACUUUUGCACUCCUUCCCCAGAUUUUUCAAAACUUUUUUUGCCUUUCUUUCUAAAAAGUUUGAAGUGGCCAGCUAGAUGGAAAUGUUAACAAAGAAAAUGAUAGAAGUUAAGUUAUGAGAAUUUCAAAAUUGUAAGAGAAGAUGUAAUUAAGACAUUGAUACAACAUCUGAAAUGACAUUUUACAAGAACGUAGUUUGAGUCGCAAGUGUGAGUGUGUGACUGUGCGAGUACCUUUGAUUGGGUCUUGUUGAUGAGCUCGUUGGCGUCCAGCUCGUCCAAGACGUCCUCGACGUCAUAGACCACAUCCUUGAAUUUCAUGAGCCACCGUCCAACAGCUGCUCCAUCUCUUUCUCCUCGCCGCAGCCUGUCGUCGGCGUCAUGCAUCACUGCCUCAAGAUCUUUCAUCUUCUCCUCAAUGCCUUCCACGUCGUCACGGAACCCCCACAGCAGAGCGAUCUCAUCUUUGACAAGUUCGCCGAGCUUGGUAGCGAGUUGUUCCCCCACGGCACUCACAAUCAUCCCCCCCAACCUCCGCCAUGGCUUCGCUCUAGAUCUCUCCGCCACGAGAAAGCAGCGUUUGUGAAACAGGGGGGGAGGUAGGUAAGCCCAGCGGCUUCUGCUUCUCGCCUUCUCAGUCUCUGCGUAUAUGAGGGGCCGGGUCUUUCUUUUUACUCUAUCUUUCUUCAGGUCAGAGGUCUUUCUCCCGUACAGUCUUGUUUUUUACUCCGUAUUUCCAAAGAACAGACAGCAAUGAGACCGGACAUAGGACCCCAUGACCUGGCCAUUUUAUUAAGGCCAGAAGGUGUACUAGCUAGUAUCUUUACGACAACGUGGUGCAGUGGUGCUACUAAAUGCAACAACUAUGUCUCAUCUGUCACGCUGGCUAUUAAAUACCCACCCUCUCAUCUCAUGUGUCAUGACGUACUAGCACGACAAGGGUUUAGGGUUAGGGUAAUGGAUCUUUACCAUAACAAAAUUGGUCAAAACCAUGGACGGAGCCAAAAGAGAAGUUAAGAAGGGGCUCUUAGACUUUUUAAGAAGCUGUAGCUUAAUUUAGAGGGGGCAUUAAUAGUGAAAAUCUAGCAUUUGUACUGGUGUAUCAAAAUUGAGUGGGGGCCAAAAUUGAGUGGGGGCCAAUGCCCCCACUGCUCAUACAUAAGCAUAAUAACAAAAUUUUACAGAGACGGAGUGGAAACAUCCCAUGUGCUAGAGACAAGCCUGGCAUUUGCGGAGCCACGCCUGGUCCACAGCUCGACCACGAGUGCCACGCAUUUCGCCGAACAGGUGCCGUGCGCAUCUUCCGGCUUGACCUGCGCAAAAACAUCAUUCGUCUUAGAAAAAGAAGGACUGGCACAGAAACUAAAACAGGAAGCUCCGGAAAAGGAUACCCAGAUUUACGUAUCAAGAGGAGAAGAAGCGCCGAGGUAAAAGCCCGACCACCAUGGCUGCGUGCCAAAGCAGAGGGCUCCGCCUUGAAGCCGUCCAAACGGAGUGCACGAGGACGCGGACGCGGACGCGCUGGCACGCACACCGCGCCGCUUCGGCGUCCACCCUCGUCUGGGCGGGCAGGAGCAGGAUGGAUGGGCAGGCUUCCGGAACACUAGAGGGCGGGUGCGUCGACGGGAAGGCGAAGGAGGCGCGAUCUCUGGUUUGCCAAUUUUCUUCACCCAAGAGAUAAAAGCAGAGGAGACAAAAGAAAAACACCCAAGCGAGUGUGUGGACCGUUGAGACUCUGUAGAAAUUGAGUCGAGCCCUGGUCUCCCUACGGGCUAAACUGGGCCAAGCACAGUAGCACACUAGCAAAAAGCCAGUUCUGGCCCACGCUCUCUCGUAGCAGGCGGCAGGGCGAUGCGGGCGGGUGGGCUCAGAUGAGGCCGCGAGAGCGAGACAGAGGUCCAUCCAGGUCCAUUCAGAAUGCCAUUGCGAAGCGAGGAUCGCUUUCUCCAACCCCAUCCGAGUCGAGCCAGCGAGGCUAAGCCCAUCAAAAUCGGGCCUGCUAGACAGAAACACAACAAUUGUUCGUCUAACCAAAAAAGAACCUCAACAAUUUUUUCGAAACAGAAACACAACAAUGGGCCAUAGAUCGUCCAGUUGCUCCAGCACCCCACGAUUUUUUUCUUUCCUGCAACAUUCCGGCGAGCAAAAUUUGAAGGAUAGAUUACCGGGUUAGAUCCUCUCCCCUGCUCUUGCCGCCGUCUCUUUUUCGGUUUUUUUUCCUUUUUUUGCGGAUAACUCUUACCGCCGUCUCGUGUGGUCAUCCUACGUGUGUUGUUGGUUUUCACCUCAGGGUUUACAAGAGCAAGUUUUACCCGAGGUUUAUCGCAGUGCAGCGCAAGCCCCGGUGGCUGGUGGGCGUGCCGACGAAUGACAUGUUCCCCUCUGCCCACCUGCUUUGCUUUUGCCUUCGCUUCCCCACACACCCCGCGCGACCAAACUACAAAACAAAACUCAUCCAGCAAUCCAAUGCCCUCCCUCUCCCACUCAUAUUCUCAUAAUCGUCGAGCAGAGCAAUCCUCUAGUAGCUCUGAUCGCCACCCGAGCAAAGCUCAAGCUCAAACGCGCGCAGGGACACAGCCUAAUUUAACAAUGGCGAGAAGAACCCACAUGCUCUUCCUCCUCGCCGCCCUCACCCUCCUCUACACGGCACGCUCCGCCGCCGCCGCGGGCGCGGGCGCGCUCCGGACGUCGGCCAUCUCCGCGUCCCCGUCCCCGUCCCCGUCCCCGUCGUACCAGCAGCUGCCACGGCACGGCCACAGCAGCGCGCUCCCGCCGGCGCUUUCGCCGGACACGAUGCCGCUGCUCCCGUCCCCGGGGCCCGACGACGACGGCACCGCGGCGCUGGCGCCGUCCACCAUCCCGUCCAGCCCGAGCCCGCCCAACCCGGACGCGGCCCUCGACGACCCGGACUUCGCCCUCCUCGCGCCCUUCUCCGCCGCGCCCGUCGCGCAGUCGCCCGCCCCGCCGGUCCCACGCGCGCCCGCGGCGGUGCUCGUCGUCACCGCCGUGGGGCUCCUGGCAUCCUCCGCCAUGUGGUCGGCAUAGACGGUGGGCCGCGGACGUGGCUGAGCCUGACAGACGGACAGCAGCUGCAGCAGCAGCAAUCUGUCAAAGGCUCCUUCAGAAGUUCAGACCGCGCAGAGGGAAAGGUGGUCACUGGGUCUCCUUGGUCGGUCGGUUUGGGAUCGGGAAGGCUGGAUUAGUAUUUGCUCCAGUGUUAUUUUUAGUGUCUUAGUUCUCUCUUGUAAAUUUUGUUUAUCCUUCGUGUUCAUUCAUUGUUUUAUGAGGUGCUAGUGCUACCACCAUUCUAUAGAGGGUUUUUUCUGUGUUAUGUUGGGACCCUACAUUGUUUGGGUCUCUCAUAUUUUUGUAAUCAAACUGGAGGGAUUAUUUAUUUAUUUAUUUUUAUUAGUAGUGUAAUGGAUUGCACUGUCAUUGCUUAAUUGUCAGAGGUUAACAUUUUAAGGAAAUGUUGUGUGCUUAUUUUGUUUCCUACUCUUGCUGUUGAUUCUUCAGCUUGAAGACCACUGGGUGCAUGAGACCCCUGCUUACUUACAAGGCAAUCAUGCUUCUUGUGAUGAUGGUUUGAUUUGGUGCUCCAGUUAAUUAAUUAUGAGCACCUGAUUAAAUCAUUGGCAGGACAUAUAUAUAGUACAUUCCAUCCAUCCCACACACUGUUGGUAGCACAUGUCAGUAGGUUGCUUUUCUGCCUUCUCUUCUCCUGAAAAGGCCUCUCGAUCAAUUCUUCUUUCUAUCAAUGACUUUAUGCAUGCAUCAAAUAUUUCUGAAACCCAAAAGUGAACACCAUAGUUCACCAGAAAGUGCAGCAUGCAACUAGAACUCCACAACUGAAUUUUCUACCCCCACAUUCCGGCUUCUUUUAGAAUGAGCUUCAUCAUCGCCUCAUGAUUAUGAACGUAAAGCCUCUGCCAUUGCCACUUUGCCAAGAGAUCAACUUUCAAGUCAUGUUCGAAGUUCGAACUGCAGGCUAGCAUGUGAUAGUUUAAUCAUUGUAACAGAAGCUCACGUGUCCUCUGAAGAACCAAACGGUGCAUCGAUCUGCCAAGAACACAUUGACUGUUGUUCCUGCAGACCAUUAGGUGAAAGUUUAAAGUAAAAAAGUUUAAAUUAACCAGCAGUAUCAAGUCCAGCUAGAGCUGCAUGCCCACUGUUAAUUGAUGUCUUGUACGUAUAAUGCGCGGUUACGACAAACGACAAAGAACAGGAGCAGGUUAAAUUACCUUUUCGCUACUCUGACGACAUCAAGUAAAAGCAGGUUAAUUUACUAGCACUACUCUGACGACUGACGGCAGCAAGCAAGCAAGUUCACGUGUUAGUUAGAAGCUAAGCUAAGAUAUGGCCAAGCUCUCAUUUGGCAUCUAAUGAUGAUGGGAGAAAGACGAUCGAGACGAGAUGGGAUCCGUGGGGGAUCUUGACCAUAUGUGCCUUUGCUGCCUGCCAAGCCUCUUCACGUGCAGUGUGCCAGUGUCCGUUUGCAGUGUUCAGCUAAUCACUCACUCACUCCAGUUACUACCACUAGCAGCCAAUGGUAAAAUUGUGGAGACUGACUGCAGUCAAGUGAAGAUGAUGCUGGAACAGAAGGGUGAUGAUCGGUCGAGGUACCGGAGUCUGGUUUUGAAGUCAGAGACUCCUGUGUCUUCACGAAGGAAAAUCGUGAUUGUUAAAGUUGCUAGAUCACAAAAUAGGGGUAGUCAUGACUUAGCCGCUCAUGCUAGGUCAGGCCAACGAACUGGUUUUUGGCUUCGAUGCAGUCCCUUGCAUCAUGAUGUAAUCCCUGUUUAAUUAAUAUAUCUCCUUUCUUCGAAAAAAAAAUUAACUAGGUGGUGGUUAAAGGUUAAAACAGAGUUUUCUUUUUUGACCGUGUGUACGUCAUCACGGAUGCAUUCAGGCACCAGCAGUGAGUGAGAUUGGAUAUACUGGUGGAAGAGAAUCUGAGGUACUCUAGUAGCUGGAGUAGACAGUAGGAGUGUGUUUCUUUGCGUUUGUGUUUGUGGUGAGAAGAUUCUUGCGGUUUGGACGUCGUGUAGACUAGCUUAGCUGGCUAGGCAGUCACGUGCUGCUGGUCGAUCUGCUUGCUCUGCUAAGGAGGAUGAUAUGAGAGUGAGGUACAUGGCGGAGAACUGCUUGCAUAAUUGCCAGCAGAAGUAGAUUAAUCCUUGAUGUUUGGUUUGUUGCUCCGUGUCUCGAAGAUUCGUACUAGGCGAUGGGGGGCACGGGUCAGGUGGUUAUAUAAGCUCUGCAUCAUUUGAGUGGCCGUCAUGAGAUGGUAAUGACGAUGGUCUUAAUUAAUCAAAGUUCGUGUAUUUAUUUAAGCAAUGGCUCAUCUAUUGCAACACAGAACAUCCACAGUACCAUGUGAACAAUCAAGGAAGCAAUUCACUACUGUAGUUCAUUUUGUUCACUUUAACCAUGUCAUUAAUUAAAAAAUGUCUCUUUCCUUCUUCUAUUUUAUAUUCAACGCUAGUGUGCCUGUCGAGCCUUAAGGACGUACAAAUUUUUUGGUACUAGCUAGCUAGAAAUUUGAUCUCAAAUUAAUCUCGAUUGGGUCUACAUGAAUAUCCAAUUGAUGCGCACGUCAGUUUUCUUUUCUAAGUAUGAGCACCGGCCUUUAUAUAUAGAGAGGACAUACCCUCCCUCCCCACCUAGCUGGUCACCUAGAUAAAUACAUGCCUUAUUGUUAAUCUAGCUAGCAAAACCCUCGAAAGUCAAAAGUCAGAAGAAUGGUGUAAAAACACCUAUCGGAGAAAGAGUGAGAUAAUGACAACCAUGUGGACAUGGACGCAUGAUAGGAGUGAGAGGCAUCUGAAAACAAAGCGGUUGCUUUUCCAAACUUUUGUGUACAUGGUUGACUAUGCCAGGUCUCUCAAUAGUUUUGUGCUCACAUUGCAUCAUCUGAUACACAUGUGCAAACUGCUGAAGAUGAAUGGGCAGCGUCCGCUCAGAAAGCCAUCGACAUUGACAAGGUAGGCUGGUAGAUUUUCUUAGAAUUGAUAGCGUAAGGUGCACGCAGUAUAUACGUAUUUGCUCUUAUUCGAUUUUGCCAAAACUCACCGACUUCUAUCCAUUCUCUUUUCCUCGAGUGCACCCUUCAUUCACCUGGUGUUUUGAUAGUAUGGUCGGUGGACAUAAUUAUUCCCUCGAGCAUUAAUUAGCCGUACGUUUGACCCACAAUAUAGUCUAGUGUUAAUAACCAACCAGCUUAGAAAUUUGAUGUCAUGUUUUGGAAUUCUAAUCACUUUGUGUUGUCUCUCUCCCUCUAUAUCUAUUGAUCAGUUGAUUAUUUUCAAGUAUGAACAAGCUCCUUGACGCGAAAAUAAAAUAAUCUCUCGACAAUCUAAGGACCCCCUAUUAUAAGUGGAGUUAUUUGAUGGUACAUUAUAAUCGAUAUUAGCCACAUACUCCAUCCGUUCUAAAAUGUAGUGCGUAUAAGUUUUUGUCAAAUCUUUAAAGUUUGACCAAACUUAUAGUGCAAUAUAUCAACAUCAACGAUGUCAAACAAAGAUAAUUGUACCCAUUGUGAAAAAUAUCUUCAUAAUAUCUUGGUUAAAAUUUUAUAUAUUGAUAUUUUUUGCUAUAUGCUUGAUCAAACUUUAGAAAUUUUGCCAGUCAAAAAAAAUUAUACACCAUAUAUUUUGGAAGGAAGUGAGCAUUACUCAGUACUCCCUCUAUUACAAAAUACACCUCAUAUAGAUUUGUGCACUUGGAUCAACACAGCUCUCGUUUUGUUGUGCCUGACCACUCAUAUUGGGUUAAUAAUAAAUGAAUGUGAGUAGUUAUUGUCCGGGUGCGGGUACCAAGAGAAAAAUGAGAUAUAUUGUGAAACAAAUGAAAAAAAACUAUACACGUUGUAUCGUGGAAUGGAGGGAGUAUUUCUUGACAUUUCGCAAAAGGAAAAUACUGAAGUUACGAGACGCCCAAGACCACCCAAGGCCCAAGGUACGAGACACAGCAGAGGGCGAGCUGAUGAGUCUCCCGAAGCUGGUCACCAGUGUUGGUGUGUAACAAAUGGGCUCUGAAGAAACCAUUCGCCCAUACUCCUCCAGAAAUUCAAGUUUCGCUUCCCCCUGUCCCUUACCAAACGAUUGGAGUAGUAAAUUGUACAGCCAGUACUACCAUAGAAUAGCUCUAUAAAGCUUGCCCCUAUCUCCAAUCGUUGCAUGCAGGGACUAGGCUUCUUCUCGAUCUACUCAUUGAGAUUUGAGGCAUCCAGCCAUCUCAGCUCUCUUAAAUUACCAGGAUAUCACCAUCCAAACCAACGCAAAUGGAGAUCACGAUCGAGUCACGAGAGAUAGAACAAUAACAAAUGACCAAAGUAGGAUUAAGUAAUUAAUUAGACGGAGUUGGAUUGCCUACUAAUGCACUAUGCUGGAAAUGGAAGGGAUCUGGAAGACCGGAAAUACCGGCCUCUCGCCGCCAUCUAUGUCGAUGUUACUCUAGGCACUGCAGUGCUCCAUUCAGUGGACGAUGGAAUCUUCUUCGCCUCUGUUUGAUGAGGAAGACGUACACGGUGGUCGGUGGAAGAUCCAACAGAGAAGACAAGCUAGGGGCAGAGGGCAGAGGAUACAGACCAUCAGUACUUUGAUGCUGUCCCUUGGCGUGUUUCUCAACUUGUCACUUUCCCGUAUCAUAAAAAAGACAAGAUACCAAGGAAGCAAUUUACUUAGAUCAUUUUGUUCACUUUACCCAGAUCAUUAAAAAUAUAUCUCAACUUGCUUUUUCUGGAUGCAAUGCUGUUGAAUAUUUGAAAUGAUCAAAAGCACAUGAGUGCUAAGCCUCAGGGUGUGCAUAACCGAACCGGAGCCAAAAACCGGAUCCAAAAAGACGAACCUCGGUUAUCAAAAUAGCUAACCAUAUGCCUUUGGAUUAAUCCGGUUUAGAACCGAAAAACAAAUCGGUUAAGCUGAAGAAAAAAAAAACACUUUUGAGAUCUUUUUGGUACUUGCUAGAAAUUUGAUGUCAAAUUCCCAUUUGAUCUCCGUGGAUAUCUGAUAAGCACAUCAAAUUUUUUUCCUUGUGUGCAAGCAUAAUUAGCACCGGCCUUUAUAAGUAAACCCUGUCCCUCCUGACCUAGAUAAAUACACAUCGACUCCUGCCAGUCCUCCACUGACUCCACUCUCUUUUUUUAGGGGAGCAAAUUAUAUUCUCAUGACCAGAGUUGUACCCCCAAAAGAAACAAGAAUGGUGUUGAAACACCCAUAGGAGAAAGAGAGAGAUAGUGAUAACCAUGAUGAACAGGAGCGAGAGGCAUCUGAAAACAAAGCGGCUGAAGUUCGAGACAUUUCUGCAGAGAACAGAGGACAAACAGCUUCUCAUUAAUUUUGUGCUCAGAUUUCAUCGCUUGAUCAACCUGUAAAAGUAGAUCACCUUUGUGUGGUAGAUUGCAGAAAAGAGUGGGUUGCGCCCAUAUAGAUGAGAACAAAACUUGGAUGAGUAGACCGUUGGAGUUUCUUAGAAUCGACAGCGUAAGCUACUUGGUAUUUGUCAUCAAUCGAUUUCACCCAAACUCACCGCCUUCUAUCAGUUCUCUUCUCUCGCGUCCAUCUUUCAUUCACCUGUAGUUUUUGAUAGUGCGGUCGGCAUCUGGAAAAUACACGUCUCUUGCACGGUUGAUGUCCGUGUUGCUAUGGGCAACGCCGUGAGCCCGUGACCCAUUCACAGCAUGAGGUUGUUCUUUUGGCUUGCGUCUCGGGCCUCUUCUCUGGUUUGAUGCGGAAGACGUACACAUGCUAGCAGUACUUUGAUGCAAUGUUGCUUGGCGCGUUUCUCGUUCAUACUGAUCAACUGCAGCUUUUAGUUUUUUAGGAAUCCUCAUGACAAAAAUUCGUUGGAAAAAAAGUCCAUGCGCAAAAGUACGAGUACAAGGAAUUAAUGCACAAAACCAAAUAGGAAAGAAAUUUGAAAACAUAUCGCCAACCACAACGUGAGUGCUUCGAGUGCAAAAGUCAAAGCGAGUAGUGUUGAUUUGUGUCCCAAUUUGUUCACUUUACCCAUAUCAUUAAAAAAGAUAUCAAGGAAGCAAUUUACUACUAGAUCAUUUUGUUCAGUUACAAACGCUUUUGAACAUUUGAACUGAACGCACAUGGGUGUUGAGCUGAGCCUUGAAGUCUUUUUGGUACUAGCUAGAAAUUCGAUGUCAAAUCCCCAUAUUAUCUUCACGGUUUUUUUUUCGGGUAAUAAUAUUCAUGGAUAUCGGAUGCGCACAUGACAUUUUGUUUUCCUCGUGUGCAAGCAUGAGCACCGGCCUUUAUAUAAAGGACACACUCUUCCUUCCAACCUAGGUAAAUACACAUAGUAUUGUUACAUCUAGCAAUGUAGCUCUUGACUGGAGGUUUACCCUCAAAAGUAACAAGAAUUGUGUCAAAAUAUGGAUCGGAGAAAGAGAGAGAUGGAGAAAUGAUAGGAACGAGAGGCAUCUGAAAACAAAGAGUCCGCAUUUCCAUACCUUCACGCAAUAGAUCAGGAGCACAUAUUUUCUCAGUAGUGUCAUGCUCACAUUGCAUCCCUUGACCAACACGUACAAGCAAAAGCAAAAGGAGAGGAGGGAGAAGUGGGUAUGGCUCCUCAUAGUCAAGCUGUCGAAGCUGUCAUGCAUGCGGCAGUGUGAGAUCGGAGAUCUGCUCUGGCCGGCAGGCCGGAUGCUACAACAAUGUAUGCAAGCUCCCUAUUUGUGGAUUGAGACUCUAUACAAGGUCAGGAAAAGACGAAACCGUUUUGAUCCUAUGGCGGAUGGAUCUGAAUGGCUCAGCACACAAACAGUUUGUGGACACACACGGACUAGAAUUGCUUAGCUUCUUGGUGAAUUGCUUGAUGCAUUCAAUUUAGUAUAGCAUUUGUGAACGGGUUGACUUAGGUCAAGCGUUCAAAACUCAGCCAACAAAUUAUGGUAAAAAUAUUUGCAGCUCUCAUUAAUCCUACUCUCAAGGCUUGGAGGAGUUUAAAGUGUUUUUUGUUUGCGGUAAGGAGGAGUUUAAAGUGUUAAAAAUGUAUUGUCCGCAUUUCUCCAAUAUUUGAACUUUUGGUGCAUGCAACUCAACAAUAUGAGGCUAGAUGAUAUGCAGCGGUCCUUUUUUUUUUUACAACAGGAGGCCUUGCGGUUGGCCAGCUCUUGAGGUCUGUGGCUUGCUUUGUGGGUUAUCUUGAAGUUGAUCCUGCUAUCAUUUCCUAAUUACUUGUAGCUAACACUGGUCCCUUUUUAAUCUCUGUUGUACCGUAUGGUAGUUAAGCACUUUGCAUCCAUUCAAUCAUUUGUCUAGCUUCACCGGUAUCACUAGAAAAUCAAAAUAUUGAUCCUCUGCUGACACAGAUCAGUUUGAAUUGAAGCACAUGAAUGAUGAGACUUAAUUCCUUUAUUUCAAAACCGGUGAGAAGAUAUUAUCUUGAUGUGUGGUGGAUGGAUGUAGCUAAUGCACCCACCAGUCUUCCUUGGUUAUACAUGCAUCCACACCAAAUGCGUAUAGUCUGCUCACGACACUUUCUGCUUGUCUUAGUUCUCGCUACACUAGUUGCACUUGCACCCACUAAAUUCUAGUUAAAGAGGGCAAUCCAAAUUAUGAUCAGGGAGUUGGACACGUGCGUGCAUUGCUGCUUGAAAUGGAAGGCAUCAGAGAGAGCACAUCACCGUCUACUUGGGGACAAAUUGCGGUGACAAGUGAGCCCUGUUGUGGAGAUAUUAGGAUUGGGGGCAGAUGGAUACAUGUGAGGGAUGAAAAUAUUGGCAACUUCACAACUUUGAUUCAGAUAUCAGAACAAUCUGUUUCCUGUACUUAUGGUAAAAAUACUUGCUGCCAUAUAGGAUAGACUUUUGCUAGCAUUGCUGCUGAAAAAACUUUUGCUCGGCUACGUACAUGUCUCGGAGAAUCCGGUCCUAACUUCAGAAGAUUUGUUUCUAUUACAUGGAGAUGCAUUGGCUUUGCCAGGAGACGAUGAUUGUCUUAAACAAGAUGACCAGACUACGUACCUCAGUCCCCAACCACCGCCUAAGGAUCCCCAGUUUUCGUGAGGUUCAUGCAUGUACGUAUCAAAUCUGAAUGACAAUUCUUUCUACACGCAUAAGGACCCUACUAUAGUGUCAUGUAAACAUCCUACGGUCCGAUCAUUUCGUUCACUAAUCAGGCUCCAUGUCUUGAUGUACUUCAAUGGUUUGCAAAAGGGAAAAAAAAUGAAGGUUCCAUGGUUGAAAGUUGCAACUUACCAAUGAGUUUAAAUAGGAGCUCCAUGGCCUCACCGGAUCCUUGCCACUCCAUCUAUCUAUUGUUUGAUGAAACCCAUAUAUUCAAGUAAUUUAUUGUACACAUUUUCAAUAUAGGAGCUCGAUAUAUGAAAAUUGAAAUGCUGACAAUGUCCAUAGAUUUGAGAAAGCCAUGAUAAAAUAAUGGUUCGAAGCUUUUAAAAUGCGAUAAAUGUUUUGCAGUACUACUUUACUCUCUUCCCCUUCCCUUUAGUAAAAUGUAAAACUAGUACCCUACCGUAAAAUAGCUCUAUAUAAAGCAUGCUCCUGCCUCCAAUGGUCGCACACAGCGAGUCUUCUUCUCUCCAUUUACUCCCUAUAUCCAGGCACCCAGCCAUCUCAGCUCUUAAAUCGUUAGAUUAUUACCGUGAUAUCAUCAUCCAAACCAACGCAAAUGGAGAUAAGCAGGAUCUAACCAAUCGACUACCCAUGCGGUGCGCCUAGGAAUAGAAGGAAUCUGGAAAAUACACAUCUCUCGCCACUGUUUAUGCCCAAGUUUCUCUGGCCGGCUCUGCCGUACCACAUUCACACGGUCGAAGGAACUAACAAAAGCAUGGCGUUGAUCUUCCGGUCUGCGUCUCCACCGUCGAGCGAGGUGGUGCAGCCUUCUUCGGUGGUUUGACGCGGAACACGUCCACGGUGGAAGAGCCGAUCCACUGAAAACAAGCCAACGGGAGAAGGCUAUCAGCAAUUUGAUGCAACGUCUCUUCCUGUGUUUCUCGUUCAUACCGAUUAUUUUUUGAAAAUUUUCGUGACGAAGAUUCGUUGGAAUUAAAAGAAAGUCCAUGCACAAGAGCACGAGUACAAGGAAUGUACAAAGAAAACAUGUCGUCAACUCUACGGCUUGGUCUAUUUCGCGUGCAAAGUAGUCAGAAGCCCGUUCUUUCCCCAUAACCGUGAUAUCCUGGGCGCAACGUUUUAUUCCGUUUAGUUUUUGUAUUUUCUGCUGCAGCCCACUUUCUCUCUUCUUUUUUUUUCCUGGACUUCGUCCUUCUGGCCCAACUCCUGCCCUACCAACUCCUCAGCCCAGCACUUUUUUUAUUUAGAACAACAGCCCAGCACUUUGGUUCGUCUUCCUCCUCUGUUCCGUUAGCACGCAAGCACUGCCAAUGGCCGGCGGCGGCUUGAAUCCCAUAAAAACCGAAGAACAUCUACAGUGCAAUAUGUACAAUCAAGGAAAGAAUUCACUAGCUCAUUUUGUUCAUUUUAACCAUAUCAUUAAAAUAUCUCUUCCCUUUUUUUUGUAGAUGCAACGCUAUUAAAUAUUUGAACUGAACGCCCGUGGCUGUCGAGCCUUAGGGACACACCUUUUGGUACUAGCUAGCAAGAAAUUUAAUCUCAAAUAUCGAUUGGGUCUACGUAGAUAUCUAAUGCGCACGUGUUUUUCUUCUUCUUGCGUGUGAGCAUGAGCGCUGGCCUUUAUAUGAGGGACAUACCCGCCCUCCCAACCUAGUCACCUAGAUAAAUACAUGUCGCGUUGUCAAAUCUAGUUAGCAGGGUAGUACCCUCUAAGGUAACAAGAAUGGUGUCGAAACACCUAUCAAUCCGAGAAAGAGAGAGGAAACGAUAUAAUGAGAAAACCAUGAGGAGUUCAUUUUAAAAAAAACAUGAGGAGCUGGACGCAUGAUAGUGAGAGGCAUCAAGUAUUUUUAGAGCAAGUCCAGCAGUCCCUAUCACCUCCCCUGUAGUAUUUUUAGGGACAAAAGGCAAAAAAGCUUUUUGGUAGUUCCUCUAUCUUCUCCCUGAAAAAUCGGCGUCCUCUAUCUUCUCCUCCUUCUCCCUAGAUUGGGGCCGUGGAGGCCUCCGUAUAAAUUUGUUUGUACUGUCAUAUGCUUAUAUAUGUGUCCUUUUUGUUUUUGUAGUUACAGAAAAUUCUUAAAAUAAAAAAUAGGGAAGAUCUUUUAGGGGUACCUUUGGAAUUGCGCAAUUUUUAGGGAAGAAUAUUUUUAAGAAUGCCCCUCAUUUUGAGAUACAGGAGAUAAAUUUAGGUGAACUGCUGAACUUGCUCUUACUUUUGGAUAGAAGACUGACAUGCAAAGCUUCUCGAUAGUUUUGUGCUCACAUUGCAUCACUUGAUAAACAUGUCCAAACAGUUGAAGAAGAGUGGGCAGCGUCCGCACAGACAAGCAUCAAGGAUGGCAAAGUAGACUAAUCGAGUUUCUUAGAAUUGAUAACGUAAUCUACGUACUAUUUGGUCUUGUUCGAUUUGCCCGGAUCCACCCUUCAUUCACCAUUAGUUUUGGGUUUCGAUCCCAGUUGGUAGUUUUUUUUUUCGGAAAUCCCUGUUGGUAGUUGGCAGAGAGACAAGAUCUGUAUGUGUCUGUAAUAAACAGGCCUCAUCAUCAUUAGUUUUGGGCCAAAAUCAUUCUCCGGAAAUAAUUACCAAAUGUGUAAAUUAACAGGCCAUGACACAUGCCCUAGAGAUCGAAUGGUAUUUAUACAACUACAUUCUCUUUUCCCGGUAGUUUUGUCUACCGUAAAAUAGCUCUCUAUAUAAAGCAGGCGCUGCCUCCUGGACUCCCUAGUCCUUACCUUUCAAUUAAUCGUUGCACGCAGCGAGUCUUCUUCUCAGUCGAUAUCUGCUAUCCUACACAGGCAGCCAGCCAUCUGAAGUGACAAGCAGGAUUAAGGCUGCGUUUUUUUCGGCUUUUAGGACCGGUUUUUUCUAAAAACUGUCCUCACCUAGCUUCUUGGAGAAGCCACAUCUCAGAGUUAGCUAGGUUUCCAAAUUAGUUUAGGCCAAACUGAUUUGGCAACCUAACUAAAUUUAGGUGGCGGUUUCUCUAAGAAACUGGGUAAGCGCAGCUUCUCGAAGAAGCCAGUACAGGAAGUCAAAAAGAACGACCCUUGAUUAGUGUGCGCUGUGAAUGGAAGGCAUCUCGGAAUGCAUGCAUGUGCACUGUUUAUGUCGAUGCUGCUCCAGACUCGUACAGGGGCUGCGGAUCCUUUGAGUGUUGUGGGGAAAGCGUGUGUGAUGGAUCAAAGCCACAGAAAGCAAGGGAAAGAAUCCAAGGACAAGGAAUACGCUCCAGGCGAUUUUAGGUUCCGCUGGCCCAAUGUUCUGUGCGCUGUAUGGCUCGGUACUGAUGAAGUUGAGGUCGUGAGAUCGAAUCACUCUAUCUGCAUUUUUCUGGCCGGUUGGACCGGAUCUAGCCCGACUGCAAGCAACUGAGCAAGUUUUCCAUGGACGUUUUUCUUUAAAGGGUUUUCCAUGGACUACUUGGAAGAAGCGAAGGAGGUCAGGUGCGAACUGAGGUGGUGGCACUUGCAUAUUUUGUGUUGUUAAAAAAUUCGUGUCAAUUUUGCUUUUGCUUACUUUGGUUUUUAAGGAAACUGAACCGAAAUUGAACCAUUAUUGUUGAAACCUAACCAAUAUAUUAGUAUGUAACAUUAUUAACCGAAAUACAAAAAGGAUAAAGCGAACUGAACUGAUAAACCGAAUGCACAUCUGUCGAUACCCAUACGUUGCUAUGGAUAAUACAAAUUGAACUACUCGCUACAGAUAAAUUAGACUAAAAAACAGAAAAAGAAAUAUAUUAUUAUUAGGAAUGUUUGCUAGCAAUUUUAUCUUCAGCUUUGGUGGCAACAACUGUUUUAUGAAUAGCACGAUGACUAUAAUCCUUAAAUCGAUACCUCUUGGCUUCGGUACCAUAAUAAAUUGCAUGCACAUAUAGUAAAUUCUAAGUCCAAACCGGUGAAGAAAGACAGACUAUAGUAUGUUUCAACAGAAUGAACUUGAGGUUCCAAAAUAGAGAGAAAGACAUAACAACCACGGAAUUGCAUGUAUGCAAUGCUGGUUGGAAUUUGAGGCAUCCGGAAAUAGAUUCUUGGUUCAAUAGAAACUAUUUGGGGUGAGAUCAAUGUGAAAUCGCCUCCAACACUUGUUGCCUCUUGUGGCACGCCAAGAAGAAGUUCACAAGCCACACCUGAUGGUCGAACUUCGCCGAGCUCUUUUUUCUGGAAAUGGAUGCCAGCCGCUUCUUCUUCGAUUCUGGCUGCAGAUCUCAUCAGGGCCGGGCUCUGGCGUUGUGCCAAGGCUUAACCUUGGUAUGCCUCCAACCGGGAGACCGGAUUCUAUUGCAGGAUGUAUACAUAUAUGCUCCCUAGAUUGUUGGAUUGAUCCACUGGAAAAGAAGAAAUUGUUAUGGUAUGGUCGAUGGUUCCGAAUGCCCAGGAAAACAUAUACGAUUUGUGGAUAAACCUAUCUGGGAUACAAUUCAUGUUGAAUAUGUUGCACAAAUUUCUCCAAUAUAUAGCUCGGGUGUCAAUUAAACAGGGCUUAGUGUUCAAAACUCACCAACCUCAGCUAAUAAAUUAUGGUACACUCCUAAGUCUUGGAUGAUUCUUGAAAGUGUUAAAACGUAUUGUCCAUACUUCUCCAACAUUUGAACUUCUGGUGCCUAUAAUACAAUAAGAUGAGGCUAGCUAGAGGAUAUGCAGCAGAACAUUUUUUUUUAAUAAUAGGAGGCCUUGCGUUUGUCUUGAUCUUACUUUACUUUUUCUUAAUUACUCGUAAUUAACAUUGGUUCCUUUUUAAUCUCUGUUGGACCGUAUGAUGUCAAGCACAGUGCCCCAUUGUGAACUGAGUUAGGCUUGGUUUCUUGUGGUGGAACCAGCCCGCCUAGGUUCAAGUCCUAGACUUGACAUGGGUGUUACAUUUACCUGAAUUAUUUCAAGAUUUAACCGGCGCUCUAUUAUUUCAGUGGUAUAGAUGUGAGUGUACGCGUGUUGUGACCGUCUACUUUUGUACUGUGUUAUCACUUGAAAAUCAAAAUAUAGAUCAUCUGCUGACACAAAGACUACUGAACUGAAGCACAUGGAUGGCGAUACUUUAAUUCCUUUAUUUCAAAACUGGAGAACACAAAUGAUCUUUCAAUGUGCGGUGGAUGGAUAUAUCUACUGCGCCGACCAGUCCUUCGUCUACCUUAGCUCAAUAGAUGCACAUCCGCACGACAUGCAUGUUAGUCUCAUCAACACACCUUCUGCUCGUGGUAGUUCUCUUUAGACUAGUUGCACGCAAACUAGACUCUAGAUAAAAGAUAAAUCCCAAUUACGAGGAGCUAGUUGGAUACUUGCAAUGCUGCUUGGAAUGAAAGGCAUCAGAGAACUCGUCACCUUGCAUUGGUGGACAAACUGCUGGAAAUUCAUACAAAUCAUUGCAUCAAGCGCCAUCGAUCACCAAAUAGAGGCGCCUCAAGGGCGGGGCUCGCCUCGUUGUUAUAGCAAUGUUUGUUUGGCUGCGUGCCUUUCGGAGAAUCAGUUCCUGAAUGUCAAAGAUUUAUUUUUGCAUUAUCUAAACCAGAUGUGUUUGCUUCCAUCAUAAGAUGGCGAUGGUCCCAAACAAGGUGACCUCAAACCCCGGACGCCCUGGUAAGAAUCAGUAAGGUUCCUGUGUGAAAACCUAUUAUAGUGCCAUUCAGACAUAUCCGAUAAAUCGUUCAGAGACCGGACUCCUAUUAUAUGCAUGAACAAGACGAAGUGUAGUUCCAUUGUUUUGCAAAAUCGUUCAGAGACCUCCUUCCCUACUCACUGAGACCUUCUUCCCAUUGGAAUCCUGUGCUCCGUGUGGCAUGCAGCAGGCCGGUGGAUGCUACGUACGCCGAGCUCUCAGGCCGGCUGCUCGCCACCACAAACCCCAUCCUUCCCGCCGCAACCAAUUAAGCUCCUCCACUCACCUCUCCCUAUCUCCCUCCACCGAGCGCCCGCUGGUGUGGCGAAGUAUGUAUACCGCUUAGUUCAAAGGAUCACAAUGCAAAAUGAAAUACUCACUCCGAUCCAUAUUAAUUAUCUUAAAUUUGCCUAAAUAUGGAUAUAUCUAUGCCUAGAAAGCGUCAUACAUGUAAUAUUUCGACAAUUAAAAAAGAUCGAAGGGAGUAUAAAGCAAGCAACUAAUUUUCAUACAUAACGCGGAGCCCACAUGUUUAAUCAACAGAGGAAAGGUUUUCCCUGUCAUAGCAGCUUAAGCUAGUGACUAGGGAGGGUGGCGCGCUGAUCUACGCAUAGUACGUGGCCCAAUCAUUCUAACCUUUUUUAUGCUUCAAUGGUUUUACCAAAUGGUGUAUCUAGUUGUCCAAAAGCCAAAUGUUGAACUCACGGAUUGUAUUUGCUUAAUACAACGAUGAAAAUCAAUAAAGUACCUGUUAUUGAAAUAAAUUAUAAUCAAUAUGUGAAGAACUUUAAUUAGAAGCAGAAUCAUGAUUAGCGGCAAGAUUAAUCAAGGUAUGGCAUUAGCCAUAUCUUGCCAUACUGGGUCCUCCGCCACUGCCGCUGAUAACGCCUCCCCCGGCCCGCCGCCCGCCACCUGCUCGACAGAAUGCCACAACACGGGCCAGCGCAGAUCCAUCGUGCGCACACUCAAAGGACGCCGACGCUCCCAUCGCUGAUGCGCCGUUGAGCCCUUCCACUGCGUGGUCCUCAAGUCCGGCGCCGCGCAUAUAACCAAUAUAUUCCAGCUCGUUUGGUUGGAGGGAAUUAGAGAGAGGGAGUGGCAUGUGAUGUUAAAUCAUUUGUUUGGUAAGAGGACAUGGGAGUUUAAGAGAGAUUGGGAAUGCGAGUUGAGGGACCAAUUCCCACUUUUUUAAUAACAGGAGGAGGGAUGAGAAUUGAGAGAGAAUUGGUUUAUAGAAAUGAUCUCGAUCAACUGUCCAUCAUAACAUAUCUUGUCAAUUCCUUAUGAACUCUCACCAACCAAACACCGGAAUAGAUCUUUCUCGUUAAUUCUCACGUGUAUUUCCUACCCCACACCAAACAAGAGAUUGAGACUAAAAAUCAAUUUUUCAUGUCUAAUCUCAUCUAAUCUCACAUUCUAAACUCUCAUUCUUCUUUCCACAUGUUUGCCAAACACGUUGUAAAGCCAGUCAUAGUGGGAAAUAACAUAAACUAGUAACAUGCAUAUGUUACUAGUUUAUGUUACUACCUCAAUAUUGGUUAGUAACAUAUAUGUGGUAACAUAGAAACCCUAUUUGUUAUCUUAUAGACACGUUCUAUCUUAAAAAGUGUGAUGUGAUGAUAACAUAUCUAGUUACUCCAAAGUUUUCUCUCCUCAUUUAAUAAAUGCCACAUCACCAAAUAAUUUAGUUGGCACUCUUUAUUACCAUCCAUGUUACUCCCACUAUGAGUAGUUAAUUAAUGGACAAAGACAGACUAUAUAUUUACCCCUGAAAAACAAAGACAGACUAUAUAUUUCAAUAGAUCAAUGCACUCGAAUAAUUUCAAAUAGAGAGAACCACCACGUUGCAUGCAUGCAAUGCUUAUUGGAAUGUGAGGCAUCUGGAAACACAUCCCGCGUUGUAUUGGCACAACCUGUGGUGAUGUCCGCGUGAACUCGCGCUCCUACAAAAGGUGCUGUGCUACCUCUUGUGGUACAUGUAGUUGAAGCUCAUAAGUCUAUGUCACAAGGCACACCAGGUCGAACUCCAUCGGGCGCUCUGUUCUGGGAGUGGAUGCAAGCCGCACAGGUCAAGAUUUUUGUUGAUGUUGUAAAAUGCGCAGUUUCAAUUAUGCAAAGGACAAAGGAUAUAUGCUCUGUUCUUGAGUCAAGAAUGGCCAGGAUUGCCAUCCGACAGCGACUGGCCAGAUGCUCCCUGUUGGUGGAUUGAUCCGCUGGACAAGGUCACUCCAAGAAAGAAAUAAACUGUUCUCGUAUGGUGGCUGGUUUUUGAUACCCAAGAACAUAAAAUGUUUGUGGACAAACCCGGACAAGAAUUUGUAUGUUCAAAUAUUGCACAUUUGUCCAAUAGUUGGUGAAUUCCUUGAUGCCAUCCAACUUAGUACAUGUGUGAGCGGGUCGAUCGAUCUAAGAGGUCUUGUGUUUAAAACCCAACCAACAAAUUAUGGUAAAAAUAUUUGCAGCUCUCAUUAAUCCUACUCUUAAGGCUUAAAGUGUUAAAAAUGUGUUUCCAUAUUUCUCCAAUACCUGAUAUUUUUGGUGCAUGCAAUUUAAAACCCAGCCAACAAAUUAUGAUAAAUAUGUUUGCAGCUCUCAUUAAUCCUACUCUUAAGGCUUAAAGUGUUAAAACUGUGCUCUCCAUAUUUCUCCAAUAUAUGAUUUUUUGGUGCAUGCAAUUCAACAAGAUGAUGCUAGAGGAUCCAUUUUUUUUAGAACACGAUGCCUUGUGGUAGGCCAGCGCUUGAGGACUGCAGCCUGCGCCAUCAAUUGUCUUUUAUUUUUAAAUGUGGUUACGUGUUACUUAACAAUAUUGUUUGGGUUACAAUUGAGCAUAACUUGGCACAUCAUGCAGGAUGGCACGGAAUCAUGCAAAACACCACCACUCGACACACUAAUAGACCAACUCCAUCCGAUCCAUAAUAUAUGUGUACUAAAUCAACGACACUUAUUAUGGAUUGGAGGGAGUGUACUGUUUGCAAAAAAAAAUGAAAGAAAGCAAAUGUCUGAUUUUUUUGUGAAUGCAAUUCCUGCUAGAGGAUACAUUUUUUCAGAACAUGAUGCCUUGUGGUUGGCCAGCUCUUGAGGUCUGCAGCCUGCGCUGUCGAUUGUCUUGAAGUUGAUCUUACUUUAUUUUCGUAAUUACUUGUAAUUAACAUUUGUUCCUAUUUCAUAUAUAUUGUACAGUAUGAUAAUGAAGCAUUUUGCAUGCAUUCAAUCAAUCAUUUGUCUAGCUAGCUUAACUCGCAUCAUUUAAUACUAUAUAUCCUCUACUGACACGGAGACAAUUGAACUGAAGCACAUGAUGUCGAGACUUAAUUAAUUCCUUUACUUCAAAAACUGGAGAACAUAUAUGAUCUUGAUGUUUGGUGGAUCGAUAUAGCUAAUGCACCUACCAGUCUUCCUCGUGAGCCCUUGGCUCAAUAUAUAUGCAUCGGCACCACAGGCAUGUAAGUACUCAAGACACCUUGUGCUCGUGGCAUUUUUGUUAGACUUGUUGCACCCAAACAUGUACAUUGUUGUUUGGAAUGAAAGACAUCAGAGAACACAUCACCUUGUCUCGGAGACGAGAUGUCUUUCUGCGUGGGACGCCAACACUUGGUGAGUGGUCGGUGCUCAGAACUCCUCGGUAGCGAAGCAAACAGGUGGAGCAUGUGCAUCCGGUGUUACUUCCGCAAUGGGACACCUUUUGACGGCGUUGGACACAGUCCUUUCCUGUAGGUCGGACAUCUCUCAAAGGUCGUAGUCCUUCAAUCUAAGUUGCCCAACUAGUUAGUCUUGCCGAGCGUUGUAGUCUUCAUUUUUUUUCUUAUCAUUAGUCUUCUAUAUCGGAACAAUUUAUAAAUGUCGAUCUGUGACGUGACUAUCUAUGCUUGAAUAUAUUCAGACCUGGAUCCUUUUCAGGUGAUUACUUAAAAAAAGCGAUGAAUAACCGAGUUAUGCAUUCCAUGGUGACAACAACUCACCAAUGUUUUUCUUAUUUUGACUGGUCUUUCGAAGAAUUGAGUGGUUAUUUUUACCGUACAUCAAGAAACGUUUUGGGCUGGCGUUUUGGUCCAAAGGGCUUCUCUUAUGUUUCUCUCAUACCUUACCCAAUGGAGAGGGAUCCCAUGACUUAAGUCACUGACGUGUGGAUCCAGCCCCAUCUGUCAUGACCGAAUGAGAACUUUUUCUCUCCUCUCAAAAAAACAUGAGACCUUUUUCUCAUUGGAACUCCCCCUGAACUAGUGAACUCAUGUGCUCCGCGGCGGCAUCAACUGCAAAUGCCGGUGGAUGCUGCUACGCCGAGCUCACAGGCUGCUCGCCAUCCUUCCGCCCGCAACUAGCCUCUCCCGCAGCUCCUGCACACAUCCCAGCCCGCACCUCCCCCUCGUCUCCCUCCACAGCCCUGCCGCCGACGCGCCCGCCACCUGCUCGACGGAACGCCCCGCGGGACACGGGCCAGCUCCAUCGUGCGCGCGCUCAGGGAAGACGACGCGCCCCUCGCCGACGCCGUCGAACCCCUCCACUGCGCUGCCCUCAAGUCCGGCGCCCGUGCUCACCUCCCUCCACGCGGCCUACGCCAGGUGUCCGCCGCCACUAUGACUGGAUUAUGGGUCUAUCCGUUGUUUUAUUAAUAUGGACGUGCUACUUUCUUCAUGGAUUAGAGUUAAUUAUGUUGCCUUAUAAUUAUGUGCAGCUGGAUGCGUAGUCGACCACAUGACCACACAUCCAUCGUCAUUUGUCAUUUCCGAAGCUAGGAUCGAUAGAUAUUAGCACUAUUGUGUUGUUUUCUGCCCCCUUUUUCUUUAUGCGUACAUAUCAAUGUGAGAUGUAUAAUGCACAAACAUCCUUUUGGAGGUGAGGCGAUGAGAUGUAUAAUGCACAAACAUCCUUUUGGAGGUGAGGUGAUGAGAUGUAUAAUGCACAAACAUCCUUUUAGAAGCAGAAUCUUUUAUGAGAUGACAAUGAUAAUGAUGACGAUGAUCUUAGUUAAACAGGAUGUGGAGUAUAUAUUUAAGCAGUGGCUCAUGUAUUGACAUGUACAUGUGUGCCUCCAUUCACCCAGAAUAUCCAUAGUACCAUAUGAACAAUCAAGGAAGCAAUUUACAUUUUGUUUACUUUACCCGGCCAUAUCAUUAAAAUCUUAUGUCUCAUGUGUACUUUUCUACUCCCUCCGUUCCAUAUUAAGUGACUUAAAUUUGUCCAAAUAUGAAUGUAUUUAUAUCAAAAAACGUCUAAAUACAUGUAAUAUUCCGUAGAUGCAGCGCUAUUGAAUAUUUGAACGGAACGCACAUGGGUGUUGAGCAGAGUCUCUAUAGUCUUUUUGGUACUAGCUAUAUCAAAUCUCCAUUGAUAUCUAACGCGUACAUCAAUUUUCUUUUCCUCGUGUGCAAGCAUGAGCACCCGUCGUAUAUAAAGUAAAGACUCUCCCUCCCGACCUAGGUAAAUACACAUCACAAAUUCACAAUACUAAAUCUUGCUAGCAAUGUAUCUCCCGCCUGUCCUCCGCUCUCAUUUCGAGAGUAUACCCUGAAAAGUAAUAAGAAGAAUGGCGUUGACAAAAAAAAGAGAGAUAAUGACAACGACCGCGAGGAGGUCAACUUGUGAUAGGACCGAGAGGCAUCUGAAAACAAAGCGUCUGAGUUUCUGUAACUUAAUGUAGUUGAUGGACGAUCACCAGUUUCUCAAUAGUUUUGUUUUCACAUUGCAACGAAGAAAGAAGGGCAUGUAUGCGCAGACAGGCGGGGAAAAUGGAUAAGUAGACAACUAAAGAAUGGCCGUACCAGCGAAGCCAAGUACACGGGGUUUGGGAGAACUAAAACCUGUGUCUUGCAUAAAAUUCAAGUUAUGAAAAAGAAAAUUGUUCGAUGUGCCAAUUUAUUCAACUGGAGAUGGGCUCUGGCGUUGUCCGCCUCCAUGGCGAAGAUCGAAGGACUGCCUGGCAAUGCAAGUAUGCAACAUACAAGGACGCAGAUCAGUCUCAUUUUAAUACUAUCCUGACCCGUACUCCAAAUUAAAUCUUCGGUUCAGUAGGCGUUUCUCCUCGAUGCUGCGGCAUACCACAGGACGGAGGCAGUUACUACAUGAGAGGCCUUUGGACAGUUGUAAAAAUACACAUGGAUGAUAUCGAGAAAGACUAUUGAACUGAAGCACAUGGAUGUCAGACUUAAUUAAUUCCUUUAUUUCAAAACUAGAGAACAAAUAUGAUCUUGAUGUUUGGUGGGUCGAUACAGCUAAUGCACCUACCCUAGUCUUCCCGUGCCUUGGCUCGAUAUAUAUGCAUCGGCACCGCAGGCAUGUAAGUCUGAUCAACACACCUUGUGCUUGUGGCAUUUUUUGUUAGACUAAUUAACUGAAUCCAAACAUCUGCAUUGCCGUUGGAAUGAAAGACAUCAGAGAACACAUCACCUUGUCUCGGUGAUGAGGUACUGUUCGGUGGGAAGCCAACACUCGUUGAAUUGCCGGAGCUCAGAUACCCUUGGUCACCAAGCAAACAGGUGCAGCAUGUUCAUCUGAUGUUAACUCCGCAAUGGGACGCCUUUCAACAACGUCGGAGACAAUCUCUCCCGUGUAGUCUUACCGGGCAUGGUAGUCUUCGUUUUCUUAUCAUUACGCUAUUAUGGUUUUCUACAUCGGAACAAUUGGUAAAUGUCUAUCCGUGACGUGACUCACUAUAAUCUAUCCUUGUAACUUCCGUUUUUCGGCUAAUGAAGUCGAACAUGGAGCCUUUCCUGAUGAUUACUCAAAAAAAUACGGUGAGAAAUAAACCGAGUUAUGCAUGAACAAGCUGAAGUGUACUUCCAUUCCAUGGUUUGCAAAAGAAGUGAAAAAUGUGAAGUUCCAUGGUAGACAACAACUCGCCAAUGUUUUUUUUAUUUCCGACGGGUCUGUUUAGGAAAAAAAAAUUUAGGGGUGCUUGUUUAGGAAUCGAGUCGUUUAUUUGGUACUGUCAAGAAACGUCUGGGCCAGCCUUUUUCCGUUUCUAAUAUUUUUGUUGUGGUUUUAGUUCAAAUUUGACCUAAAAUCACGACAAGAAUUUGAAAACGGAUGGAGUAAUAAUCAAAGACUUUGCAUGCAUCCAUUCAAUCAUUUGUCUAGCUAGCUUAACCUGCGUCAUUAAAAAUCAAAAUAUAUAUCCUCUGCUGACACAGAGAGUACUAUGGAACUGAAGCACAUGGAUUUGGAGGCUUAAUUAAUUCCUUUAUUUCAAAACUGGAGAACAGAUAUCUUGCUGUUUAACUAAUUAAUGCGCCUACCAGUCUUCCUUGUGUGCCUUGGCUCAAUAUAUACGCAUCGGCACCACAUGUCCACAUGCAUGUAAAAAAUCUGCUCAACACAUCUUGUGCUGCACCCCAAACAUGUGCAUUGUCGUUUGGAAUGGAAGACAUCGGAGAACACAUCACCUUGUCUAGGCAACGAGAUGCCCUUCGGUGGGACGCCAAUCACACUCGUUGAGUUGCAAAGCAAACAGGUUGAAGAUAUUCAUCUGGUGUUACCUCCGAAAUGGGAUGUCUUUCGACGGAGUCGGAGACAGUCUUCAUGUGUAUAGCUUGGAGAUCUUGCUAAGGUGCAUGAUAGUCUUUCUGGGUGCGGUAGUUUCUUUUUUUUAUCAUUACCAAUUAUGGUUUUCUAGAUUGGCAUAAUCGGUAAAUGUCGGUACAUGACAUGACUAUCUAUUCUUGUAACAUCCGCUUAUGGGCUAAUAUAGACGGACAUGGAACCUUUCCGGAUGAUUAUUACUCAAAACAAAGCCGUGAGAAAUGAACCGAGUUAUGCACUGUACAAGCUGAAAGUGUACUUCCGUUCCAUGGUUUGCAAAAGAAGUGAAAAACGUGAAGUGCCAUGGUCGACAACGACCUCACCAUUUUAUCCGGCGGGUCUGUUUAGGAUUUUUUUUUAGCGGAGUCCGUUUAGGAAUGGAGUAGUUUUUUUAGAGGAACAAGUGGUUUUUUUUAAUUUAGAACAACGAGUAUUUGGUACCGUCAAGAAAGGCCUGGGCCGGCCUUUUGGGCCGUUUUUUUUCUCUUCCGUUUCUCUCAUCCCUAUUCAACGUAACCUUCUUCCCGUUGGACCUCCCGUGCUCCGUGGCAGCAGCAGCUGCAAACGCCGGUGGAUGCUACGCCGAGCUCACAGGCUGCUCGCCACCACAAACUCCAUCCUUCCCGCCACAACCAACCUCGCCCGAACCUCCUUCCCACAUCCCAGCACGCACCUCCCCCUCGUCUCCCUCCACAGCCCUGCCGCCGAUGACGCUGCCGCCGACACCCGCCACCUGCUCGACGGAACGCCCCGCGGGACACGAGCCAGCUCCAUCGUGCGCGCGCUCAGGGAAUACGACGCGCCCCUCGCCGGCUCCGUCGAAUCCCUCCACUGCGCGGCCCUCAAGUCUGGCGCCGUGCUGGACCCGCCCGUGCGCACCUCCCUCCUCGCGGCCUACGCCAGGUGUCCGAGCGGCGGCGACCACGACGCGCGCGCCGCUCUGGUGCUCUUCCACGAGGCAGAAGACCCGGACGUGAUCCUGUGGAACGCCGUGAUCGGCGCUCUGACGCGGGCUUGCCGUCUCGGCGACGCCGUGGCUCUCUUCCGGCGGAUGGCGGGCGUGCGAGGGGAGGCGUUCGAUUCGACGACCGUGGUCGUCAUGCUGUCAGGGGCGUCGCGCGCCGGCGAAUUGGACCUCGGAAUGGCGCUCCAUGCCGCAGCCGUAAAGAGACGCCUCGACACUGACAUGAACCUCUGGAAUGCUCUCGUCGACAUGUACGCCAAGUGCGGAAGUUUUUGCGAUUCGGAGGCCGUGUUUUGGAGUAUGCCGUGUUGGGACACUGCCUCGUGGAAUUCUGUGACAGGUGGAAGCACGUUCAAUGGACUUUCUGAGGUUUCGGCUUGUUACUUCAGAGAGAUGAUCCGUUUGGCAGUUCAGGCAGAUGAGGUGACCCUGUCUUCUGUAAUUUCUGCUUCCUCUCGCGCAGAGGGUCUUUUCUCCUUUGGAGAGUCUGUCCAUGGCUGCAUCGUCAAGCUUGGUUAUGAGGAUACCGCGCCUUGCUCGGUAGCGAAUUCCCUGAUAACAUUUUAUUUUGAAUUUGGGUUUCCUGAGGAUGCAGAGAAGGUAUUUAUGAGAAUCUUCAAGAAAAAUCAUGUAUCAUGGAAUGUUAUGAUCAAGGGAUUGAUGGAGAAUGAAAAGGCUGGGGAAGCCCUGGCUGUUUUCCGAGAAAUGCUAUCAGAGUGCCAGCCAGAUUUUGCCACUUUGGUGGCUGUAAUUUUAAGCUGUGGUGAUCAAGGACUGCUCUGUGAAGGGAAAGCAAUCCAUGGAUACAUAACCAGAAAAUGCCUUUUCCAUGUGGAGUCUUCCCUAGGAAACAGCUUACUUGGUUUGUAUAUGAAAUGUGAUGACGCAUAUACUGCGAACCUUUUGUUCAGGACAAUGCCAAUAAGAGACCUGAUCUCAUGGAACACAAUGCUUUCUGGUUACUCGAGAGAUGACUCGCUGAGAGAAGAGGCUCAAGCUAUGUUCAGAGAAUUACUUUCUGAAGGUUUAAGCUGCACCAUGACCACUAUACUAGCUGUUAUACCUUCAUGCUCUUGUCCAGAAGACCUUAGGUUUGGCAAAGCGGUUCACUCUUUUGUCCUGAAGUAUGGAUUUGCAAGUGGAGUUUCAGUUGUUAAUGCUUUGAUGCACAUGUACAUAUGCUGUGGAGAUUCACUGGUUGCCUUCACGCUGUUGGGAAGUAUAAUGCCAGUGUCAGAUAUUAUUUCAUGGAAUACAGCCGUAGUAGGCUGUGUACAGAAUGGACUCCACAGAGGCGCGUUGGAAGCCUUUCAGUUCAUGCAUUCAUCUUUGCCUUUAAAUCCUGACAGCAUUACGCUAGUUAGUGUUUUAUCAGCAUGUGGAACUCUUAAGCUGCAAUCCCUAGGAAAAUCCAUCCAUUCCAUGGCACUAAAGCGUUUGCUUGUAUUCAAUUUGAGGGUGAAGAAUGCCCUGUUAACCAUGUACUUCCGGUUUGCAGAUACUGAAAGUGCUGAGUUAAUCUUCUAUAGUCUCGGAGAUAGAAAUUUGUGCUCCUGGAAUUGUAUGGUCUCUGGUUUUGCACAGAAUAAUGAUGGCCGGAGAGCAUUACAGUUCUACCAGAAGAUGGAAAAAUUUGUGCCUAAUGAAAUGUGUACAGUCAGUAUUAUUUGUGCCUGUACUCAACUCAGGGAUGUUAGACAUGGAAAGAGCAUACAUGGGCAUGUGGUGAAGUCUGAUCUUCAAAAUAAUGUGUUUCUUUCAGCAUCGCUAGUUGAUAUGUAUAGUAAGUGUGGAAGACUCGACAUUGCUGUCAGAGUAUUUGAAUCCUCUACUGAAAAAUCAAUUGCUUGCUGGAACUCCAUGAUAUCAGCAUUCGGAUUUCAUGGGCAUGGGUUGCGAUCGAUAGAACUUUUCUGUAGUAUGAUCCAUUCUGGAAUGAAAGCCACGAGAAGUACUUUUAUUGCUCUUUUGUCAGCUUGCAGUCAUGCUGGACUUACUGAUGAAGGAUUGAAGUAUUACAACCUUAUGUCAGAGAAAUUUGGGAUUACUCCGACACCAGAACACCAUGUAUGCAUCGUAGACAUGCUUGGCCGUGCUGGUCGGCUGCAGGAAGCACACAAAUUUGUCGAGAGUUUACCGAAAUCCAAGGAAGCACAUGGAGUUUGGGGUGCACUUUUAAGUGCUUGCAGUAACAAGUCCGAACUCAGGAUGGGUGAGGCCAUCGCUAGACAAUUGCUCUGCCUAGAGCCUGAAAAUAGUGGUUAUUAUGUGACUAUUUCUAAUCUGUAUGCAUAUCAAGACAUGUGGGGUGGUGCUGUCCAGGUUAGGGACAUUUUGCAAGAUAAAAGAUUGAUGAAGCCCCAUGGUCACAGCAUUGUUGGAUAAAGGGCAGUCAAAGAACCUUGGAAGCUACACUGUACCAGAAAACCCCGCACUAAAUCACAAAAGCUGCAUGUUCACUUAGCUAUUUUCUUCAUGCAGGCUUGCUCAAACAUGACACAGGUAUCUGUUUUACAUAGGUUUCCUUGAUAGAUUAUUUUAUCUUCUAGACAUUCCGUCAUUUCCUCUUUUUUAGGUUCGGUUUUACAUGUGUGACAAACAUUUUAGCAUGAAACUGAACCGUGCAUUAUCAUUCUUAUUUUUUUAAAUAACACAAUUUGUUUCGUGUGGUUAUUAUGAAAUACUAGCACGAAGCCCGUCCCUUGCAACAGAUUCACACGUAUUAAAACAAUAAAAAACAAUCACUUAUAUCUGCUCAUAUUCCAACCAUUUAUGUGAGACCAGUAACUGAUUGAGAUCUUUAUAUGAGUAAAGAAGUUGCAUUUAAGCAUGUCAAACUUGGUGUCAGUUUAUUCGACAUAAACUAGGGCUAUUUUCUGGUAAGACAAUGUAGCAUAUACAGUAAUGUCCUGCCUAUCUGAAUGUUCCAAUGGAGAGCAGAAUGCAAUUUCUGCACACAACUCUAUAUGUCAUCAUGCAUCUAAGUUAGCCAAGCAAUCUGUAUGAUUCAUAUUUACUUCUGAAAUACCGAGACGAUUCCAGGGAGUUUAGCAUGUGCACCCUAUGAAUCGACUUCUCUUAUGCAUUAAAGUCCAUUUUGUUAUAAGAAAUUGUGCCUUACAUAUGUCUCUUUUUUUUUGCGCUGGAGUCUUUUUUUCUGCGUUUGCGUCGCAAACUAACAUUGCAGACUGCACUUUCUCUCAUAAUGACCUUACAGCUGCCAUUCUGAAUCCGAGCUUGGCGACAUCACAGCACAGGGUUCUACACUACAUGGUCGACAAGGAAGUGACGCCGCAUCUGGUGGACGUGAGCGCCCGGACCGGUUCCUCAACUGGAAGUUGGAGCAGUUUAGGCCAAGUAAGUACGUGAUGCUGGUAAGCCUGAAGCUUUGCUACUGGGUUGUGCCAUGGAGUCAUCAUGGGUGUCCCUGUGGUUAGCUUCCUUUUCCAACGUUUGCACAUUUCUGUAGAAUCUGCUAACAAAGGGGAGGUUUAUCUGCAGGACGCACUCGAGAGCCAAUGAAAAGCUGGGAUCGAACUGUACCAGUUGCUGCAAUGAUGGUACUGCGACGUGACGCCAAAAUUCUCAGUCAGGCGAGAACAUUACAGUAAGAUCAUAUAUAGCUAGGCGACAGGCCGGCAGCUGCUCUUGUGGAGUAUAUGCUGCGAGUUAUGGAUUUUAAGUCGAGAUCUCUUUUAAGUGCUCUGUUAGCUUAAGAUGCGGCCACGUGUUGUUAUGGAUUUUAAACCGUGUGUCAAGAGCUUAAGCUGCAGCCUAACAGCCAGCGUGAUGAUCGGAGCAGCAGACAGAUUGGUGAAUGGUGGUGGUUGCAGGUAGGUAAAGCUUGACUGACCCGGCUCAACUUGGCGAACCAGCAAUUCCAUCUCUUCUGUUCUGUAGCAUCACUCACAGGUGGGCUGGGUUGUGUUUCGCCUCAGACAGACAGACAUGGAGCAUGUGGCCGCUCUGGAAGCCAGCCUAGAAAUACCAGUAGUAGCCUCGAAUUAAAGCAAUUGAUAAACACCCUCUCCCUCUGUCUCUCCAAACAUUUCUUGUCACUAAAUGUUCUUGUCGGUUUUGGACAUUGGACAGUCCUUUUUUGGGCAAGCUUUGUUGUCGUUGGUAAUCUCCCGGUUUGCUGUGUCUGGCACGUGUGAAGGAAAAAAAAAGGUACUACUACGGCCAGCUACCUCCUAAGCUAGGAGUAAAUAUACUACUGUACUGGAGUAGCGCAUUGCCGUUUGUCCCACCUCUGAUCUAGAUUGGCAUUCCUAACUGUGUGUAUGUAUGUAUGUACGUACGUACGUGUGAUGCACUCACAUCACAUGAACAGAGGAGAGUAGAGACAAUUGCUUUCUGGAAAGGCAGCUGCUGGCCCUGUGCAUGAGAUAUUGUAAGGCACCUGUAUCAUAUCUGCCGACUGCAGGUUUUCUUUUGGUUAGUUCCUUGGCAAAGUGGGGAAGCUGCCAUUUGGAUCAGCUUUUUUGUUACUAAAGAAAAGGAAAACCAGAGGAUGAUGGACUAGAGUGAUGUUGGUGCCAAAACAUGUGCAGAUUAAGGUGCUCUAGCUGUCUGAGAUGUCUAUUUCCAUUUUCCAUUUCAUGCACGGCACACUGAUAGAGAGCUUUGUUUAAAGAGGUUUUGCAUCAUGAAAAACUGAAAGAGGCGGCUAUCGCCUUACGAGAUGAGAGAGCUUUGGGUACAGUACGUGGCCGUGGCUCAAAUCAUUCGGACACAUCCAUUAUUAAAAGCAGAUCGUGAGCCUACUAUACAUAGCUCCUGAUUUUCUGCGAUUUCAAAAGAAGACGGUGCACAUGCGUGACACACACAUCGACGUGACCUCGUCCUCUAAUUAAUUACACUCUGGAGUUGAUGGAGAUUGGAUAAACAUGUCGCAUGGCCCUUGGUAGUAAGUAGUAACAAAAGUACGUAAAAAAAUCCUUUAUUCAUGGGAGUUUCUGUGAUUUGUAGAAUUGUCAUCCAUUGGUCUUUCGUCCGUCCUUGCAUUAUACUCCCUCUUUUUAUUAAAACCAUGUUUUAACAAAACUAUGCUUCAGUCUUUGUAAAAAAAAAUGUAAUACUUAGGGUUGCAAGUGGGAGCCGCUUAAGUCACACUUCCAGUUCAUUUUGGAUUUUAAAUCUUGACAAAAUUUGAACUAAAAUUGGAAAAUUGAACUAGAAGUGGAACUUAAGUGAGCUCCCACUUGACACCCUUUUUUCUUUGAAUGGAACACCCUAAUUAAUACUCCAUACUUACAUGACCAAAAUUUAAAUCCGAGGAUUUUAAACAUAAAUGGCCACUUUGUAAUGCUACCUUUUCCUUUCAAAAUCAAGCCGAUCAUGAUCAAAGUAUCCCUAAACAAUCAAAGAGAGCAGACAUGCCAGCUCUCUUCGGGAAGGAUUGAAAGCGUGCAUGAGUUCCCAUUCCGUCUAGCUAGCUAGCGCGUAGUUGCAUAAAUGGGUCGGCAGGUACGCUUUGCUUUUGCUGUUACCCCCUGCCCGUUGCCAUGCAUGGCACGAACCCAGGUCGCAUGAAUGAGCACGCACGCAGCAGCCAACAGAAUUCACGAUCGAUUUCUACAUCGUUUCGAUCUUGCUAUUACACGGUUCAUUUAUCAGGCACACAUUUGUAAACAGAAUACUCUCUCCGUUCGGAAAAAAAUUGAUGUAGAUUUCACUUAUUUCGGUGAACAGAAUACACAGAAUAUAGUUGAACAGACAUUCCAACACAUGGUGUUGGUCAGUAGUCUCCGCAUGACAUGAUGUCCACUAUCUUGGUGUAGUCAAACCCACUACGCAUAAUUCGUAGUCAUCCAACCUAACUGGCAUUUUCGACCAUCUCCUCGCGGUAAGAAGUAAAAUAAAAUAAGCAUGUUAAUUAUGAAGGCGUCAUACUUAAUUUUUACUCCAUCAUAGAAUUACUUAGCAAACUAACACUUGAUGCAGUAAAUUAGAUGUGCUGGAAGUUGAAAUGUAUAGAAACCUAAAUCACAAUAGAAGUAAAACUCAUUUCCUUCGCAAAACAAUGUGCGUGUCAAAUUGCCACGUCUGUAUUGUGAGUUCUUUUUUUUUUUUAAAUAACACCAUGCGAAACCUAGAAUAUUUCACCUUUACCAAUAUUACAUCGUUUCCGAAACCUGCUUUGGGUUCUUUGCUACCACCACGGUUGCAACGAGACAACUCUACCAAAUCUUUUUUUAUCAGAAUUAUCAAAAAAAAAACUUACUAGUCUCUGUUUGUAACAUAAGUCAACACCAAAAUGCUUGUAGCUUGGAAACACAGGGAUACAAGGAGGGAAAACCAAAAUUCAAAAAGAAAGCUGGGUAGCAAAAGAAAAAAAAACAGGGAAAUUAUCGAAUUGGAAAACACCAGGAGAAAAAAAGAAAGCUGCAAGAAAACAAGCAGUGGCUAGGAAAACAAAAGAACAUCACAAGGACAGCAGGGUGGACCCCACCGAGAAGCCCAACUGCUCCCCACGAGAGUGGACCCCACCAAGGUGGUCAUGCUGCUAUACUAGUACGUGCAUAUCCAUUUAGCACCAGCUUAUUAUUAUUAGGUUAUUUUAUUGGGUAUUUUAUUAGGGCUAAAUUGAAUACUCCGUACUCCUCCAAACUCCAACUCCCCCAUCACUUCCACCACCACCCCCGCAAAAUAAACAAACAAACCAAAGCCCAAAAAUAAUUCGAGCAAGAGGAGCGGCGAGGCGACGUGGAGCUCGGAAGGCAGCCCCCGACUCGAGCGAGCGCGGUACAGCAGCGAGCGGCGGCCGAAGGAGGAGGAGGAGGAGUUCCCGGCGCAAACACCAGCGUCCCAAUGGCGGAGAACGGCGAGAAGGCGGCGGAGGGAGGUGGUAGUGUGGGAGCGGGAGAGGGGGAGGAGCAGGAGGUGGAGGAGAGCGUGAAGCUGUUCGUGGGGCAGGUGCCCAAGCACAUGACGGAGCCGGAGCUGCUCGCCAUGUUCCGCGAGGUGGCGGCCGUCGACGAGGUCACCGUCAUCAAGGACAAGGCCACCAGGGCCUCCCGAGGUGCGUGUGCGGAUCCCGUGCGUGCGUGCGUACGAGCGCCCCCCGGAUCUGGGGGCUGCUGCUCGUCCCCGCGCGCCGGAGAGUGCUUUCGGCUCUGCGGGGGAAGGGGCGGGCAAUGCCGCGCCCGGAAUUCGAGCUCUAACCGCUGUUCUUCUUCUCCCUCGCGCCAAAAAGCUUUCGCGUGCUCUGUCGAGCUCUUUUUUGUUUUGUUUUUUGCUUAGUGCGUGGUUUUCGGCGGAAUGCCGCAGGGGGUGAAUUGGAGAGUUUCGUGGGGAACGGAUUCGUAGUGUCUUCUCCCGUGCUCGAGGGAGAUCUCGGCUCGAACUCUCCGAGUGCUGCGGUUUUGAGCUCGAAUCCCAGCUCUGUCUGUCUGAGCUGCGUUUAGGUUUGCAGAUUUGCUCCAAUGCUGGUGUCAAUUCUGCCUUUUUACCGCUCCGUUUUCAGAAAGUUCAGUUUUAUCAGUACUAUUUCUGUUUUACAUUGCCUUUUCCCCCCUCUAUGUUGUUUCGCUUGAGCUUGUUUUGAAGCAAUGCAGGCGCAAAUGUGCUAUACUUGCGUCGAUUUUAAGGUACUUUGGGGAUUGGAGCUUCGACAUUUAGCUAGUUUGGGGGUUGGAGCUUCGCUAUUUAGAUGGUUGUUUCUAAUUGGCGUCAGAAAAUAAAUAGUGGGAUGAGGUUGCUUUGGUCUUCUGUUUGAACUGGCAUUGCACGAUCUCGCCAGAGAAUGUAUUGCUUCCAGUUUCUUGUUCUGCCUGCAUGUUUUGACUGCAAUAGCCGCUGAGUAUAUCACGACUAAUGUAUGCUCCGCUGCAUGUUGAGAUUUAGUCCGAGUUCCUUGUUUUUCCCUAAGUUGUGUAGCACUUUACGUUGGUGAGGCCGAUUUGUCCCUGCUAACGCCUUUUUUCCUUCAUCGAUGUGGCACUGCAGGCCUGAUUGUGCUUGUCUGAUGCUUGAUGCUUCAUACUUUUUCCCAUCUCCCUCUUAAUUUGACUUUUCGAUCACGUUAACCCAAUGCAGGGUGCUGUUUCCUUAUAUGCCCCUCAAGGGAUGAGGCUGACAAGGCGAUAAAUGCGUACCACAAUAAGCACACACUCCCGGGGGUAUGUGAGCAUUCCUGUCUUUACCAAUUAAUGUCUUUUUUAUGCCAUCUGCCUACGUGGAAUUGUUACAAAUUGAGUAAGAUUCCUUAGCUCUUUCUUUGCUCGCAAAUUAUGAGUGGUUCAUGAAUAUUCGGUUGGCAAGGGUAACACAUAUCUUCAGUUGUUUGGUGGGACCAGAUAAAAAUCUUUGUGGCACACUCUGCGGAUGACUUAUUAGUGGGUGGGCUAAAAUUUUGAUCUGUUUAUGUUGAAUGUUUGUGGGUUCCUUCAGGUUCUGUGUGCAUAAACAAUUUUAGUUUGUCAAGGGGUCACACAAAUUAUUGUAGGGCCUAAACAGUUGAACCCUGAAAUUGUAGUUUCAUGGUCUAGUAGUCGUUGGUUUGGCAGGUUAUGCCCUUUUCCAGGCUUGCUUUAUUUCUGAUAUAUGAAGGGUAUCUCUUACUCCCGCAAAGAAAGUAGAAGGAUAUUUCAUACUCCCUCCGUCCAACAAAAGAUGUCUCAAGUUUGUCAAAAUUUGGAUGUAUCUAGACAUGACUUAGUAUAUAGAUGCAUUCAAAUUUAGUUAAAGUUGAGACAUCCUUUGUUGGACGGAGGGAGUACUAUACUUGACCCAGAUGGUAAUUUUCUUUUCCUGUAUUGCACUAGGAGACACGAUAUUAUAGUUAAGCUUUGGUUCUUGUUGGAUAAAGCUGAUCAUGCUAUGUGGUUAUCCAACUAAAACAUUUUGUUCUGAUACAAAGACUUUUGAAAGUAAAUACUAUUAUUAAGGAUGCAAGUGGGCAGCCCACAACCCGCAUAUAAGUAUAUCUAAAGUGAACUCUUGGUUACAAUUUGAAGUAGGAAAUUCCACUAGGCUGACUUUAACUAUACUUAUAUGUCGGCUUUGUGGGUUGUCUGCUUACAUCAAUAACUAUAUGUAUCUUGCAGCAUUCUCAUGCAAUACAAAUAAUCAUGUUUGUAACAUCCAUAAAUUAUCUGUAGCUGUUGGUUCAGUCUUUUGUCUGCUGUUGUGAUGAUAGAAAAAAAGCCACUGCAAAUAUGGAACUUUGCGUUAAGGUCUUCUCGUUUUAUGUUUCAGCAAGCUUAUGUGUGGGCUUGCACUUUGUUGCAGAUAUUAUGAAAAAUAAUUGGUUUAAACUCAUGGACUAAGUAUUCUGUUAUGGCAGGACAGUAGGAGCAUUAGUGAAGGUUGUUUCCUUCCAUCGCUAAUUUAGCCAACUGUAACCUGACUGAGAACGCUGAUGCAGUAUAUGAGAUAAUUAGUGAAGGUUGUAGUUACAGGUUUUAUAUCUUGACAAGUGAAAAUAUUAAGUGGAAGAAACAAGGUUACAGUUAAUGUGAGUAUCACCUGUCUGUGGAUGGCUUGCCAACAUUUGGGCCACUGGAUGAAAAGGAAUAUUUAGUUGGAAGAAUCAAGGUUACAGUUAACUUUAGGCAAGAGCCACACUACUGGAGCUACCAGCCUACCACAUGAUGGUGCAAAUAGUGGGGUGUCUUCAUGUUUUAAUGGCAAUAAGUUUGGGACUCUGGUAAAAUUAAACUUGUCACCACACAGUGGACUAGGCUUGUCCCUGAGAGAAAAACAUACAAAAGUUAGAUCAGGAAUUUAGCCACCAUAUAUUUGUACCCAUUUUGUACGGAAAAUGAACUGAUUGUAGCUUCAGCUUUGUGGCACACCUAACUGAGGUCCCACCAAACCUAACUCCAAGUGGCUCCUAUCAAACACAGCCAAAAUGUUAAUGUAGAUGCAAUCAUGCGACAGUUACUCAAACUUUUGGACUAAAUGCAAAAUCUCAUGAUAGUGCAUGCUUUGGACUCAAGUAGCUUGAGUUGCAACUAAAGUUCAUUUUUGUUGAUGUAUUGCAUGAUUUGGUCCAACUAGCUUGAACGGCAACUUAUGUACUUUAUCUGUUUAAUAUGCAUGGAUGUCAUUUUUUUCUAUGGUGGGCCAGAAUUACUUUAUUCAUAAUGAUAAAGAACUUCACUGAGUAUUCAUUUUAGUGAUAUAGCUACUCUUCUGAUGCAUUAUUUGGAUAUAAUCCACAAACCUUUUCUUCAAGGCUUAUGAAAGUACAGAUUUUGCAGACCUGUUGCUACUUCCCUUUAUUCGCUGAUGACACUUUUUUCUUUCCCUCUGUUUAAUACAGGCAUCAAGUCCUUUGCAAGUAAAAUAUGCUGACGGAGAGUUAGAGAGGCUUGGUAUGGUUGCCGUUUAUGUAGAAGAACUUUUGUCUUUGCCUCAUUUUGUACACGAGUCUUUGCUCAAGUUUUUUGGCACCUAUUUUCUAUUGGCAUGUGAACAGUGCACUCAUUUUUACACUUACUUUGACUUCAGAACACAAGCUUUUCAUUGGAAUGCUUCCAAAAAAUGUGGAAGAUACUGAAUUGACGGACUUGUUUUCUGAAUAUGGAAAUAUCAAGGAUCUACAAAUUUUGAGGGGUUCACAACAAACAAGUAAAGGUAUGUCUUUAUCGAGAAGUUGCUUUCCUUGCCAACAGAAGUAGAAACAUCACUUGACUCUGAAACAUCAACAAUGUUGAUCAACUUUUUUUUAUUGCAGCUGGAUGUGCCUUCCUUAAAUAUGAAACCAAGGAGCAAGCAGUGGCAGCUAUUGAGGCUCUAAACGGGAAGCACAAAAUAGAGGUUUGCCAAAUAUGAGUUAGGAUAGCAAGGCAAUUUUGAACUUGUGGAUAUCACUUAUUCCCGGUGAACUGUUUACUUAUUUUCCCCAGCAGCUAUACACAACAAACUAUUCGAUUGCUUGUCCCUGUAUUGUGUUAUCUUCGUCAAAAUUUCAAAUUAUUUGUUUUCAGGCUGAUGGUGUGAAGCCUUUGGUAGCCAUACAACUUGGUGGCUAACCUCUACUUUUCCUGAAUAUUUAGAUUCAUCAAAAUAUGACUUAAAUGAUCAAUUGACGGUUGCCAUUCCUAAUCUAUUCCCCAUAUAGCGCUUACUAGUUAGCAACUACUUACUGUUGGUGGCAUGGACACACUAAAAAUAUGUACAUCAUGAACUUGUUUUUACCAUAAAACCAAAAGAUACCAAGGAAAUAUGUUGAAACAUUUUUACCUCAGUGAUGCAUAGCUAGCGAUGCAGCAACCCUUUUAGCCUACAAUAGUAGUACAAAUGUUUUUUUUUUCUGUAUUACCUUACCCUUUUAGUGCACUCUUCAAUGUAUUGGAAUUUCAUUAUAUUAAUCAUCUGGACACCUUCUGAAGUCUAAUAUUUAUUGCUUGAUUUGUAUGUGGUUCUUAAGUUCUGAUCUAUUUGUUAGGGUUCAAGUGUACCAUUGGUUGUCAAAUGGGCUGACACAGAAAAGGAAAGGCAGGCCCGGAAAGCACAGAAAGCUCAACUGCCAUCACCUAAUAUGCCAAAUGGAGGUCCAAUGCCACAAUCUUCAGUAUUUGGAGCUUUACAGAUGGGAUAUUUGCCUCAUCAGUAUAAUGGAUUUAGUUAUCAGGUGACUUUUGCUGCUCUUGUAACCUUGAUUGCACUAUGCACUAUCAUAGCACAGUUUUUUUUAUAUAUAUUUAGAACUUCAAGUGUUCUGGUCCUAGUUUCUUUUCAAGAUAGUGUUCAGAAAAAUUAUCGACCAGAAUAUGUUAUUUGUCACACUGUGUUCUCACCCUCAAAGUAUUCUUAAAACUUGUCCAUCUGUUGCAGUCCUGACUGUUCCUUAGUUUCAAACACAAAAAGGUGGUAUUUAUCAUAUGCAUUGCAAAAAGAAUACUCAUUUCAUUGGAACUGCCAAAAAUUUGUCAGAUUCACCCUCAUUAUGCCAAUGGUACUUUAAAUACCUAAUUGUUAUAUGUUGGAGCAUCAAGAGAUUAAAUAUGGGUCUUUACUUGUCAGCAUUUAUUUGCGUGCACUGAUCUGAUAUGGAAUACAUCUUCGACUUUUGUGUGCAGCCUCCAGGGACAUAUGGACUUAUGCAGUACCCUUUAUCUCCUAUGCAAAAUCAAGCUGCCUUUCAGAAUAUGGUUCAGCCUAAUCAAGGAAACUCGAUAAGAGGAGUCAAUCCUGAACUAUCCCCCAAUGCAGUUUCAAGAUCGUUUAACGCAAUGCAUUUAGGCAGCCCUUAUCCAGGUGUGCCUGGUAUGCAGUAUACUGGAUCCUAUCCUGGUGGUCCCAUGAGCAAUCGUCCUUUUGGGAAUUCUCACAAUCCGCUUAAAGUUCCAAGUGCGAAUGUCAAUUCUAUUGCAUAUAGUCCCAGUAGCAAUGGUGGUGGCCAAACACAAACAGAAGGUUAGCCACAUUUGAUGCUUAUCUUUAUUUAUUGUGCAAGGGAAUAUACUAUAUUGUUCCAAGAGUAACUGCAACGUUAUUUAGCAUGUAAUUUCCCCAAAAUGCCAUCUGCAUUUUCUUUCUUUGUGAUGAACAUUAUCCUGUAGCAAAAAUGAACAUCUGUACUUGUGGUCGCAACAUGUAUAUGAGGCUAUCAGGAGAUGCACACAAGAAUCUAGCAUGAACAUUGAAGACUGAUUGAUAACUCUGAUUGUGGAUGUGACUACUUGUUUCUACUUAAGUACUUCACUAAUCCAUAUUGCAUUGCACAAAUCUUAUCAUCGUAGAUAUCCUACUAUGCAACACCUAAAUUACUAGUUAACAGUUUUCAUAGCUUCUAUUGUGAAGUCUGUUGAGUUGUGAACCUAACAACAUGUGCACAGGUCCUCCUGGAGCCAAUCUAUUUAUCUACCAUAUCCCACAAGAAUUUGGGGACCAAGAACUUUCCGAUGCCUUUCAGAGGUUCGGUAGAGUAGUAAGUGCCAAGGUCUUUGUAGACAAAGCAACGGGUGCCAGUAAAUGCUUCGGUAAACUCUCUCACUUGCUCACUCUCCUGCACCCAUCGCUCACACGAUCUGUUAAUUGGUUACAUCUUGGUGCAGGUUUUGUAAGCUAUGAUUCUCCUGCUUCCGCGCAGUCAGCCAUCGGUAUGAUGAAUGGCUUCCAAUUAGGUGGCAAGAAACUCAAAGUACAACUCAAGAGAGACAACAGCAAGCACAGUAAACCGUUCUGACAAAACCAUCUGUGACGACCUUACGAUCAUUGUUCUUGGUACAUAUUUGUCAGAUAGUUGAUCGUGACAUAAAUUGUUUCCCCUUGGCCCUGCGUGCCGCACCGUCCAUGGAGUCUACUACCAGGGAUCCCAUGUAUCUUCUUCGUUCAGUUCACAUUCUUGAAAAUUCGUUUACCUCGGUGUAAUUUUAUCUCAGCGUAGCAGUAGAAUUUGUACCAUCAGGCCCUUGUAUACAUCAGAAGUCAGAUUCAUUCAAUUUUACCUGUUCCUCCUGACAUAUAUGACUCUUGACUCACUUAACUUGUUUUCUGAGUCGUUUCCUAUCAUGUCCAUGAUACGAUCAUCCUGUUUGCAGUGUUUUUUUCUGUAGAAGAUUCAAUAAGAACUUGUCUAAUUAACAUACUGUCCCUCUGUUUUAAGGAACUUAGCACUGUUGGCUUUCACCAGUCUAAAAUGUUUAGUUGGUUACACUGAAUUGGUAUUCUUAGAUUUGCCUUGAAAAAAUAUUAUUGCAGUUCCCAGUGAUCCACUUUGGAGAGCCUGAAAAGCCCAGAGUGGCAAGUACAUUCUGUAAAGGAGAAAAUGUUUUCUACGCAAUACAGUAGAGGUCAGCGUUGGAAGGAUCAAUGGAGGCCCACACAAGGCUGGUAACAAACAGCUUGAGCUGCUGGAAACGUCGCCAUGGGCCCAGAUUCCUUUGUCCCAAAAGACAAUUUGGCCUUCUUAUUACGUUUAGCCCUCAAAAGGGCAGUGCAACUGCCAACAAUCCAAAUCACCGUUGGUGGACAGGAAAACCCCCAGCUCAGCUCACCUGCCAGCAUCAAUGUGGAGACUGUAGUAGUAUUAAUCGGAUGGCGACAGUUCUUGCUAUCAAUUGGCCUUCCUUCCAUCCAGCCAUCAUUAAAUCCUAGUCGUGGUUACUGACGAUCGACACCGAUAGGCCACAGUAAGUGCUAACAGUACGAACUUGGAAGUCUUUUUCGUGUUUACGUAAUCUUAGAAGAGAAUAUAGGAUAUAGCUGAGAUUGGUGGUCCUUAAUUAAGCACCGGCAAACGCUGAUUGCCCAUAAAUAGACUAGAGUAGAUCACAUUCACCUGGCCGGCUGUCAGAGCUUUGGAGAGGACCAGAGAAGUACCAUUGCCUGCCUUAACCAUUUUGGCUGUUAGUAAAUGCAGUUGUUGCACAUGCACAUUUGGAGUAUACUAGUCCUGUGCAAGUAAGUAGGCCAAUUGAGUCUGAACUAAAGAGUCCCCGCCAAUCACUCUCCCAGUUGUACUCAACACGAGCCCUUGUUUUCAUAAUCCAUUCAAUUAUCAUAUAUAGGGUUCGGAUUUACAAACUCUUAAGGACAGAAAGAAAACUCCCCUAAAAAAUUAACCGUAUAUACUCAAAAGACACAGAUAAGAUAACCAUACAACUUGUCUUCGCACAUGUUUUUUAUUCCCCUACAGGAGGCACUCUUGGAUCACAAUUUGCACAAGCAAGCAAAUUGAACCAACCUAAUCAUCAGACAAAUCCACCAAGCAGUAAUUAAUCCAUCCAUGCAUGCACUGGACUACCGGGGAGAGUACCGGAGAACUAUGCACGGAUCAAGCCUUGUUGUACAGCGGCGGCCUGCUUGUUCUUGACCUCGUAGUAAUAAGGCAAGAACCCUCCGUCGAGCCGCCGCCCGGCCGACGACGACGACGACGACGGCGUGACCUGGAGGAAGAGGUAGUUGCCGGCGAAGAGGUCCCCGACGUAGGGCCCGCCCUCCCUGAGCCGCCCCACCACCUUCGCCACGGACGCCCGCACCCGCCCGCCCACCGCCGCCGCCUUCCGCCGCAGCAGCCUCGCCAGGCCCGAGAUCCUCAGCCGCCGCCGACGACGCCCGGUAGCAUACGAGGGCCUCCUCCUCGUCCUCCCCCUCGUGGCGAAGAUGGCGGUGGCCGCCUGGCUGUAGUAGUCCUGGAUGGCAGCAGCAGUGGCGGCGGCGGAGUCGUCGUGCUCGUGAUCGGUGGGGGGCGGGGGGAGCUUCUUGAGCUUGCGGUAGGAGAAGGAGCCGCUGCUUCUCGUCGUCAGCGGCGGCAUGACGAGAGAAGGAAGGGAGAACAAGUGUUGUGUUUGGGGCUGCUCGUGGGGAGGCUCAGGAGUCAGGUCGAUCAAGCACGUAGUACCAGCAGCAGAUCGAUCAGGACGUGCUACGGUGCAACAGCUAGUGUUUGCGCUUGUACUGUGCAACGUGUUUGCUGUGUACGUCAAGGGCCCCGCCGGUGACAGAUAACCGGAGGACCCUGACACAACAAAGCGGACUACAUAGAAGAAUUACAAGAAACGAAAACCAUACUGUACGCCUAGUAUCAUGGCCCGUAUCAUGGAUUCAUCCUAGAGACUGGGUUCGACCAUGACAGCGGCAAGGCCUUGGGUGUAUGUGUCACCGUUGCAGGAUACCAUCAACGAAGGCCAGAUCGAGAUCACGGGUUUUCACCCCAGAACAAGUGUAAUGGAUGAUCAUGCAUGCAUGGUUGCCUAGACUCGGUUUGUUUUCAUACGGGGUACUUCGGGUACCUAACCUAACCCGCAUCAUCGGUCUGAAAUUAGAGCCAUACCAUACGGAUGAUGGUUAGAAAGAGAUGGGGUUGGUGAUGAUUAAUUGAAGGAGUGCGAAUAGGUGGUUGGACGAUGGACGCUGUUUGUUGGGUAGCUGCUAAAUAGCUUCUGAUGCGAGAUGAGCUGAUGACGAUGCUCCUCGCAUUGAUGCGCCGCACCGCAUUGCACAUUCGCACUGCUUGCUGCUCAGUUAAUAAGUUGCCACUAGCCCACCAUAGCUAGCAGCCGGUUCGUACGGGCAUCUUCUGCACGGCCGCGCGCGUGCACUGUACAUGUGCGCAGCGUACCAGCGGGCGGCCGGGACAGCGAAGCCACAUCUGAUUUUGCUUGGUUGGCAUGAGCUAUAUCUGAAGAUGAAGUUUACUUAUUGGGGAUGCCCCAACACAGGAACCUGCUAACACAAAGUUAUAUUGGGGUUUGCAGGCAAGGAACAGGUAGGAUGCGUGGAUGACUGAUCAAAAUUACAAGCUUGCAGGACGGAUACCUAGGGCAUCCUCAACAAUCUAUUAUUCAGGUUAUCAGGGUCAUGAAACUAGACACCGGAAAUUAUAUGCUUUGCAGGAAGAGUACUCAAGAUCGAGGAAACGAGACACCAGAAACCGGAGGCAAAGAAGCUAUGCCCUUUCUCAUGUUAAAAAACAACAACAAAAAGGUUUUACACUGGAAUGUGAUAACGUAUCCUCUUCUGAACAGCAGCAGCAGCAGUACAUGGCGAUCCGGCGUAGGCAAAGGCAUUGCCGGUGCACAGCCAGAGAAAAGAAGGGCCUGCCACCGCUGUGGCUUUGACCACUCAGCUUUGCACUCAGCUCUGCUUCUGCCCUUUUUUUUCGCCCUUCUUGCCUUAUACCCCAUAUCCCAUCCAUAUUUACAUUGGACUAACAAGUAUAUAUAACAGCGGACUCAUGACAGAACGAACGCCGAGGCAGAGGGGGGCACUGCGUUGUUGUGCUCCACCACCCGCCCCGGCUGUAAGCGGACAUAAGAACGAGAAGAAAAAACCCGGCCGUGCCUCCAUCGUGUCCUCUCUUCGAAACAUCUCUAGUUUAGAUCGUCUGGUUAGCCGCGUGUUUUGUCGGUGUGUCAUAGGAGGCUCAGCAGGGUACAUAGUAUGAGGGGUACCAGGAGCCAAUGGCAGUAGCGCCUCAGGGUAGCAUGAGCUGCAAUAGGCCAAUGGUAGAGAGUAGUUAGUGAAAGAUGCUAAAUGAUUUCGUCAGAAUAAGAUGGUACACGAAACAAUGAACGGAGGAUGCUACAUGAGGUAAUCAUGCAAGAAAUGAAAGACUAACCAACCAAUCCAGAAAAUAUAACUGACACAUCUUAAUGAAAUGAUAGAUAGUUGGAUACAGAUACCACUUCAUGACAAUUGGGAAGUAAAAUCCCAUAGAUGGCACAAUAGACGUGCACAUUAUACUUAACAGGUCAAAAUGCCACAAUCCAACAAUGAAUUUGUUCAAUUUGACUGUCAUCGUUGUCUUAUGUUAUCAUGAGAAAACUAAAAUUGUCUCGGCGCUUUAGGAAAAAAACUAUCCUUGUCAGCCUACAAACUGUUGAGCUUAAUUGACUAUGAGUUCAUUCUCCACUCGACCUAGCUGGCAGACAUAUAUCAUCAAACAAAUGGGUAAGAAAACAUCCACAAAAAGUAAACCUUGGAAAAUGAUGCCAACUGAACAGUUUGCCAAGGUAACAACCAAAUGAACUGGACUUUGUAUUAUCCUCUAGCGCAAAAAAAUUGACUAGAAAAACUAAAACUCGAAUGAACUGUCAAAAUCCUCCUACGAGUAUAUAUCAGUUGAAUAGUUACCCAUUUGGACAAACUUUUACUUCCUUUGUGCACAUUCUACAGUGAAUCUUUUGAAAUAACAAUUACUAGCAAAUAUCGAAAUAUAGAAAGGAAAAGAGAACUCACAUGAAUGAGGUGCAGGGGCCACAUUUGACAUUCCAGCAGAUGGACCUGUUGUUGCAUGCUCACUUGGAGGAUGCGCAUGACCAAGAGAAACGAUGGGCAAGGGCGGCUCUGGAAGAACUGGAGGGGAUGGAACGGGUGAUCCACUGUUCUUUCUGGGAUCAUGUGGAGGAUGCUGACCAGGCGAAGGUGACAAUGGAUGAGGCGGCGAAGCAACAGGAUAAGUAUAAUGGUGAUCAUCGGCUACAGGUUCAGCAGCUGGCGUUACAGGAACCUUGUUGUUUGGCCUUUUGCCAUAUGGACACCCAGAUGGAGAUGGAGCAACGUAUCUGGGAGUACGUACAGGGAAAUUUGUUGGAGCAGGAGCAGGAGUCAAAUGCCUGUUGUCUUCAUGACCAUGGUGAUGGUGAUGAUGGCCGUGAUGACCAUGAUGUUGCAUGGGUGCUGGACUAGGUGCAUCAGAAUAGCCCCCACUAUGCAAAGAAUGUCUAAGAUAGGAGGACAGGCUUAUCUGUUUUACUCUGCCAAAUACAGUAUGGUUCAGACCAAGGUUCCCUGAAGAUGAAUUCGUAAUUUUUUGCGCCAACUGCUUCAUCCUUGGUACAGAUGGCUGGUGAUUCCCAACAACACGAACAAUAUAGGUCUCAACAAUAGUGGGAGGAAGAACUGUUGAACCUUGCAAAUUUCCCAAUUUGAUAAAAAGAUUCUGCAAUGCACAAGAAACAAAAUUCAGUCAAAGAAGAAAAGGAGGACAGUGUACACUAUUUACACACGCUUUUUGUUAUGCUUGCUAAAAACUACUCUACUCACUCAUCGACCUAUUGCAUGAGUUGAUAAAUAUAGUGCAUAAGCCUAUUGCUCCCUCAUACUCAACGACCUACAUUUGCAUGCAUGCUCCCCAAAGUAAUAUGAGCAAAUGAAAAUGAUGCAGGUGCUGUUGCAUAAUGCAAGAAAUUAAGGACAGACUGCAAGAUUUCACAUGUCUAAAAGGAUACGUAUGGGCUGGACCAAAUACAAAUGUAAAUUCCUGAACUACAUAAAGAAACAGAUAUCCAAACCCCUCAGACAAUUCUGCAAUGAAGGUCACUAAAAAGGGGGUUCAGUUAAAUGAACAGAAGUUAUGUACAAGUGUAAACUAGCAUUAUUUUGAAUUGCAAUCAUAAUGGUGACAGACAACAAUGGAACUAGGCCAGAAGGUAGCAAUAACCUCAUAAGAAUUGAGUAGCAGUCCUGCCUUCAUUUGAUCCUUUAACUCAUCAGUUCUGUCUUGUACUUUGUAUAUUGGGAAAUUCAGACUGAAAUUAAAAGUUGCAUGGGGUUUCUGAGGAAGAUAAGCUUUUUGCACAGGAAUUAUUGUUAUUCCACCAGGGAACUUGAGCACUUCAAAGGAAGAUGAAUUCCCAAACAGGGACUCGGUCAAGUGGAGUGUUGACUGUCGCACAACCAAGGACAUGAAAGAAGACCUAAGAAGGCUCAACCAUGUUGAUGAUAUAGUCGAGUUCUUUGGAUAAGGCACAAUGCUGAAGAUGACAUUUGUCCAGUUCGAUCCAACUAAUGGCUGUAGUGAAUUUACAACCACCUGCAUAUGUAUUUGAAGCAUCAGUUACUGAAUGCGGAACAGUGGAAGGAAAUAUCAAGAACCGGAAUGAAAGAUGUUGCAGGGCAUACAGUGGUGUUAGGGAGUCCAAUUUCCGCAUAGAUGUCCAAUUCGAGCUGGGAUGUAUUUCCGCUGAGCUCAGAAACCGUCUUCCGUAACCUAAAGCUUGCCACUAUAUCAUCUGAAAAACAAAGGUUCAUUAGACACAUGAUAUAGCAAUAUUCCCAGUACUCAUAGCACAACAGAAGGGAGAACGACGCAAUUGCUUAAAUUUAAAUUGGAAAAAAUUAGAACCAUGGGUUCCAAAAAAUACCCCUUCAAUAAAUUACACCAAAAAUUUCUGCCUUAUGCCCAUGGAAAAAAUUGUUGUUUGGGAAUUGGGAAUAGAUCACAUCAAAAAAUUCAUGUCUAGUAAUCCAUUAUAGUAUCCUUUAUCACAGCUGCUGCAACUUGCAACAACAUGAAAGGGGAAGUGACAACAACUAUAUCCCAUUAGUAGCUCACAAAACUUUCCACCGACAGUUCCACAGUCGGAUGAAAACUUAUGGCACAAAAUCAUGCUGAAGUGCCACACAAAAUUACCCUUUAAAUAUCGCUGAGAUUUAACCGAAGUUGAGUCUCUGUCCCCAUCCAUACACAGCUGCGCCGAUUUAACAUCAACAGUUUUACCAAAAAAUUCCCCUCCUACUCAUUUUCUAAAAACAGCACCGACACACGCCCAAGCAACACAGACCGAAUACAGACACAAUCCUUCCGGAAACCAGCCAUAUGUGACUAAAUUAAAGGGCGAUGCUAUAGUCUCACGGUGAUGAAACUAAGUCAUGGAGCUGUAAAAAAAAAGUUUGACCAGAAAGGACAAUCAGCAUCUCGACCAGAUUUGCUCAAAGCUGAUCCAAAUUCCCACCCAAAACAGCAUCCAUGGUCCGCUCCGUACAACCAGAUCCAAAGAAGACGGUGAACAUUUUACCAAUCCGGCACACACAAAUCGAAACAGCCACCACACUCUACUCGCGUGCUUGACAUUGCCGAAAACCCAGAAUUGAAGGCGAGAUCUCGCAAUGCGGCCCCGGUUGUUUGGGGUAGCAGACACUCACCUUGGAACCCGGCGGCCGGAUCCGGCCCCUCCGCCCCGUUCCCGCGGCCCGCGAACGGCGGCAGCCAGAAGAGCGCCGACAGCAGCACGGCCGCGCCGAGCACGAGCGCCGCCACGCAUUGCAGCCGCACCACACCCGCUCCUCCUCGUCCGCAGCAGCAGAACCUCCCGCCCCUUCUUCCUCCUCCUUCUCCCCCGCUGGCGCCCGCCCCGUCCGGCGGCCGCCGCUGGUGCCCCUCGCCGGCCUCCUUCCCCAUACGCCCGGCCCGCGAUCUCACGCAUCCCGGCCCGCCACCGCCGCCGCCGCCAUUGACCGCCCCCCCUCGCCCGCCGCGGAGAGAGCUAGCGACCAACCUAGCAGCCGCAGUGCGCGUCCGUGGAUCCCUUGGUCUGUUGCUGGUGGGUGGCGCGAGCGCGGGCAGGAUGCUAGAGCGUCGGGCCCCGCUCCGCGGCCGCCGUUGCUUAAGGAGGAGGCGAUGCGGAUGCGGAAGGUGCGAGAAAGGGAGGGUUAAACCGCAGCGAGGUGAAACGGAUCGGAGGAGCUCUAGAGAAGAAGAGGAGGAAGAAGUAGGAGGAGCUCCAGCAGCAGCGGUUGGUAAAAGCUCGCUGGGAUUGGUUUGUUAAAGCGGCUAAUUCGUGCUUUUCCGGGCAAAUCCCUCCCUCUCUCUAUUGCUAGUGCGCGCUAAUUCGGCUCUUUUGUUUCUCCAGUUGGCUAAUUCGGCUUUGGUUUUGCUUUUGUUGCCUUUUGUUUUUUUUGCUGUGAUAAUAAUAGGUGGUUUGUUCUUAUCUGGGUUUUUGUUGUUGCGGAUGGUUUUGAAUUCUGGAAGAGGCCAAAGUGCGAGCUACUAGGAUAGUAGGAUCUAGGAUCUUCUGCGCUACUGAACAUGGGAAGAAGAGUGGAUGGAUGUUAGGUGGCGUGUGGUUAUCGGGCGUGUCACUGUUCCUCCUCCGCUCAACGGCAGCAGCAAGCAGAGUACAGUACAAGUGCAGGUGAGUGUUUUGGCCAUAGCCUUCAUGCUUUUUGUUGUACCGAAACAUCUCGGCUCCAGCUGAACUAGUGAUGAUACAAAUUCAUGCGAAGAGAAAGCAAAGCAGCAUUAUGUUCUGAUUCUGGACACUACGGGUUUGCUAGAAAUUUCGAUCUAUUACGUGAGAUGCCGCUUUCGGAGAAGACGUGCUGAUCCAUCUAGUUUUUUUUUUUUUAGUUAAGUUGGGUGGCAAAAGGCAGAAAGGCGUGUGAUGCGGUGGCGCAGGAGAUCCGGCAGCGUGCGUCGUCGUUGUAGAUGGAUGGGUGAGCGACCCGGACCCGUGAGUGGCGCGGGCCCGGCCCAGGGCUUCCUUCCUAUUCGCGGAAAGCGACUCUUCCGGCCCAGGGCGCCCAGCGCGCGGAGGUCUCUUCUGGCUGGGUAAGGCCCACUGUGUCAUUGGGAGACGGAGGGCCCAAGUGGCGCGGGUCCAUGGAACCCGGGUGACAAGUUUUUGCGUUUCGUCGAGUUUGGUCCACGUGGUUUCGCGUUAAUUACGAAGAAGGCGUUGUUGUUGCUGCCAAUGUAUCCAUCACACUGGCUUGUGGACCCCGGUGGCAGCUGGGGCCCCUGCGUCACGACGCGUGGCUGCACGGACGCCGAUGCGAUCGAUCAGCGUCUUUUGCCCGACGACAGCGACCGGAACAGCGCCAUGCAUACAAGAGGACGGAAAAUAUGCGCCGUCACUGGCUGGUGGGGCCAGGACAAGCUGAUAGGCCCCACCGGUCGGAAGGGGUUCAGAUCGGCGGUCGCUUGGGCCGGGGUUGGGGACUCGCUGUCGGGGAUUGACGAGGGAAGACGGCACCUCGUCAGCAAUUGGACGCAGGCAGACCAACCAGCUCGAUGGCUCUAGGCCGGCCGGCCGCCGAUGAGCUCUCACCUCUCACGCACACACUCUGCCUCUGCCUCUCUCUAGAAGACAGAGACAGCGGAUGUGUACACGUGUGAAGUGCAGUGCGGUGCAAGCGUCAGCCGUGUGUGUGUGUUCGUACUGACUGACUGCGCUCCUGUACUUGGUUCGUUGUGCCCUCUUGAUCUCUCAUUAAAAACGGCUAAUUAAUCAACUCGUUGUUGUGAGAGGUCGACGACCGAUCGAUUAAGGACAGUAGUUAAUGGAGUGAUUAAUGGUUACAGUACUCCCGUGCAUGCCGUCGUCUUGUUUAUGACGCUGUCGAUCGGCUUGUACUACUGUAGUAAAUUGACAGUUCGAUACAGUACGUAUGUCUUGUGCAGAACGGCUGCUGGUGUCGAUCGGCUUGCAGUAAAUUGACAGUUCGACGUUAUGUCUUGGGCAGCAAGGCUGCUGCCCGUUGCAUCCUGCUGCGGUCUACGAGGUCCUUUCUGUUUCUGCUGGUACAAGACACGGUACAAUUAUUCAUGUGUUUUCCUAGAUGUUUUCCGUCCUUUUUACCCUGCCUUGGUGAAGGUUUUUCACCGCUAUUCCAGCAAGUACUCCCUCAGUUCCUAAAUACUCGUCGCUGUUUUAGUGCAAAUUAUUCAUGUGAGUAUUCAUCUAUCUCAAACAGCAAGUAUUUGUCUUAUUCUCAUCCAUCAAAAUAAAUACUUGCUCAAAGUGUUUUUUUUUUCACUAUUCCAGCAAGUAUUUGUCCUUUUCGCAUCCAUCAAAUGCCACAAAAUUUAAUCUUGGGAUUCCACUGAGGUAUCGAAUAUAACUCUCCAGCAUCUGCUAUUUUUAGGAACUUUUGAGAUAUGCAAGUUUGGCGAAAUGGUGGUUUCCCACCGCAUCAAUGUUUCCACUUGAUAUUUCAUCACAGUUGGUAACUGAUUCGGCGUCAGAUAUAUAGGAAUCUAACGAUCAAAUAUAUCAUCCAUGAAAGCUUAGUUUACAUAUAGAUAAGUUCUGUUCAAAUUGUUUAACAACUACAACUGCAGUUCCCUUCAUAAGCAUUAACAACUAGUACAACUAUCUUUUUUCCAAACAUAAAUGUACACAUUUUAGUAUCUGUCCGUCGUGAUUGCAAGGGCAACUCGGCGCAUUGACAUCUAUCAUGCUUGACAAAUAAUCUAAGCUGAUGUGUUUGCAACAAAAAAAUGGUCUAUUGCAGAAGACUGUCAUUAAUUCAGAGAUUUAUCAGUUACUCCCUCUGUUCCUAAUUUAGCCUACCAAAACGUCUUACAUUCUUUUUUAUUUUUUGCGGGUGAACGUCUUACAUUCAGGAACAGAGGUAGUAGUAUCUUCAUAAUCCCAGUGAGACAACCAUUUGAGCAAAACUGCAACCUUCUUCAUGUAGUUCUUCCUAGCUUCAUGCAUGCUUGAACAUCUUCAUGCUUAGCCAAUGCAGGUACACCGCCACAAUUAUAACAGGAAGUGUCAAGGGAACGAGCAGGCAGUAAUACCUGGUAAGCAAAAGAUCAAAGUAAUGUGUAUAAAAAGAACUUAUCUUGAUUACAGUAAGCUUGCAAUCGCCCGGUGCCAGGCAGAUAGGUAUAGUGUUUUAUGUAAUGUGCCAAAUAGUUUGUCUUAACUAUGUCAGAAGUCCAUCAUCAUCAGCGGCAUUGGAAAAAAAAUGAAGCAAUCUGUUGAUUAUCUAAUCUGUCUUGAUGUUCCAUACCUAUCAUUUUGGAUGGCAGACAGAAGCCGGUUCUCAUAUGGUGGAAGCAGCUUGGACACAACGGCGGCGUAGAAGAAACCCACAAACAGUAGGAUGCCAAAUGCAACAAAUGCUGAACCCACCAGCUGCUCUCUAGAAAACCGCAUCACCUCUAGAUUAACCCCCUUUGAUGCUCAGCGAAGUUGCGGCAGGUGCAUUGCCCUUCGAAGCGGAAAAGAUUCAUUGUCAUGGAAGAACAGGCAAUUGGAAGCACAAACUGAAUUUUCAACAGUAUUAUUAGGCAGUCCGGACAUCCACAUAUCCGGUUCUCAUUUCGCAACCUGAGAUAGUACAGAGCAUUUGCUUCUCUGAAACUUACUGACCUUACAAGUUACAAAGGCUGUACAAUUUUAGUUCCUAUACUGAUUGAUGCUCACGUGUUGAAGCAAUUGCAGCAAGAUUGAUACAGUAGCAGUCAUAACUAGAGUAAUUUAGCACGAUUGGUUAGGUACAAUGACUAUGCUUCUAUUUCACCGUCAGCAAGAAAUACUUCACCAAUACCAAACAAACUAUACUAAACUGUAAACAACACCAAAUUUGAGAGAGAGAGAGGGGGGCUACCGAUUGGUGAUUUGAGGUUGGCAGUGGACUUGAAGAUUGGACAGCGCGUCAGCGCCACUGUCAACUUGAAGAUUGGAGAAAUUUGGGGAGUCGGCCAGUCAGAGGAGAUGACGAGCAGGCGACGGGCGACGGCCGGACGCCCGUACCGGACGGCAAGUCUGCGCUGCCGCGCUGGACCUACGGCGAGCGCGAAUCCCUGACCUAGCGGGCGGGGCCGGAGGGAUCCGGGGAGCCGGACAGUGGAGGAGGCGGGCGGCGGGAAGCACUGCGGUGGCCGGCGGCGUUGCGCUGCGCCUGCGCUCGAUCCCCAGGUGUGUGUUUUUUCUUUAGAAACUAGGCGCAGGUAAAAUAGACAAUGUAUGUGGGCUCGUGUCCAGUCCAGCCCACGAUAAAACUUCCUUUUCCGUGAGCCAGCUCAAGGGCCGGAAAGAAAACGAUUCGGCCCAUAAAACUAGCCGCGUUCUCCUACCCUAACUUUUUUUUUUGGUUAUACGAAAAGAGAAAAACGAAGAGUCCUCUGGUGGCUCUCUUCCAAACCGGCCGGCCAAUCAAACAACCUGCCGAAAACAACGGAUCCACGGCUAGCUAUAUUUAUCCAACCGGAUUGUACGUUCUUCUUCUCGAGAGACUUUGAGGCUGCUACGAUAGGACACCCCCAGCUUCUCCGGGGCGGCUGAUCGAGACCACUCGAAUAUCAGAAACAAUGUUCAAACUCCUCGAACAGAGCAUGGAGAACUAGAUAGAGAGAGGGGGAGAAUUAUUGGAACUUGAUCGAUCGAGAGAGACAGCGAGGCCGAUCAACCAUGGCGUACUUGCGGAAGAAGUCGAUGGAGUUCCUGAAGAGCUUCGAGGUGCCGUCGAAGAACCCGUCGGAGGACGCGCAGCGGCGGUGGCGGGACGCCGUGGGCACGCUGGUCAAGAACCGCCGCCGCCGCUUCCGCAUGGUCCCCGACCUCGACAAGCGAUCCCAGGCCGAGACCCAGCGCCGCAAGAUCCAGGUUCGACCACCCUGCUUCUCAUCCAUCCAGGAUAUGACAUUCUAAGAUCGAAUUAAUUAGUGUACAAUGUGCGCAUCCAUGCAUGCCUGACUCGAUCAUCUGCUAUAUGCAAAUGUAACGUAUGUACUACAUUGAUUGACUCAUGUAUAAUUAAUUCUCAGAGUCAUUCUGAAAAUUAAUUAGUCUACAGCGUGCGUGGCUCGAUCUAUUCGAUUCCGAUCUGCAACUGGAAUUUACAUACUCCCUCCUCCGAUCCGUAAAAAGUAGCGUCGUCCAUUUUGUACUGGACGCCACUUUUUUAUGGAUCGAGUAGUUGCGAAAUGCAUCGGAUUAAUUAAUCGGUGUUAAUCUGCAACCUGCGUUAGGAUUAAUUGACCGGUCAAAUUCAGUUUCAGACUUUCAGUACACAGUAUGUACAUUGAUUCACGAUUCAUUAAUCAUACAAUGAACAAUGCUCUCUGUCUUUGGUUAAUGGUUUUUGCCUAGCUACUCCUUUCCGAGAGAUCGAAAGAUAGAACUGACUCUUUUAUUUGUAGGCUGUAACGGUGUACUAAUAAAUGGCUUAAAUGUCAAGUCUUGUUUUUAUAGCAUUACAGGCUUAAAUGUCAAGUCUUAAUUAAGACUACGUAUAUAUUAAUACAGAACUGAUACAUGUCUCCUCUUGCAGCUUUUACUAUAAACGAAAGUGUUUAUGUGUUUCAGUAAAAACAAAGUGUUCAUGUGCAUGCAUGGUUCUGAACAGAUGGAAGUAAUCAGCACUAUAUACUCCCUCCGAUCCUAAAUUGUUGUCGAAAUAUUACAUAUAUCUAGACGUUUUUUAAGAAUAGAUACAUUCAUAUUUGGACAAAUUUGAGUCAAGAAUUUAGGAUCAGAGGGAGUAUUAUUUUCUGGAGUAGUUUGUUAUACUAAAUUGAUUGUCUACACUAUUUUGCCAUUCCACUAAUCAUGGUAGACAUAAUUCUCAUGGUACACAUAGCACAGCUAUGCCAAAAAUCGUCAAACCCUGUAAAUCAGGAAAAAAAAUUGCACGAACUGAUUUACUGCCUUUUUUCCAAACCUAUACAGGAAAAGCUUCGUGUUGCCCUGUACGUGCAGAAGGCUGCCCUUCAGUUUAUAGAUGGUAUAUAUCUCCUCCUCCCAAAUAAAUAUCCCAGUCCGUUCCAUGUUUCGACGAUUUAGUUGUAACAAGAUAUACAUAAUUCUGGAUCACUAACAACAUUUAACGGGAUGAAACAAUGCUCUCCCCCACAGCCGCCCGGAGGACGGCGGAGCAGCACCCGCUGCCGGAGCUGGCGCGGCAGUGCGGCUUCUCCAUCAGCGCCGAGGAGCUCGCCUCCGUGGUGCGCGGCCACGACGGCAAGUCGCUCCGGCACCACAAGGGCGUGGACGGCGUGGCCCGCAAGGUGAACGUGUCGCUGUCGACCGGCGUGAAAGCCGACGACGCCGGCGUCCGCGCCGAGGUCUACGGCUCCAACACGUACGCCGAGAAGCCGGCGCGCACCUUCUGGAUGUUCCUCUGGGACGCGAGCCAGGACAUGACGCUCAUGCUGCUGGCCCUGUGCGCCGUGGUGUCGGUCGUCAUCGGCGUGGCCACCGAGGGCUGGCCCGGCGGCGUGUCCGACGGCGCCGGCAUCAUGCUCACCAUCGCGCUCGUCGUCGCCAUCACCGCCGCCAGCGACUACAAGCAGUCGCUCCAGUUCAGGGACCUCGACAAGGAGAAGAAGAAGAUCGACAUCCAGGUCACCCGCGACGGGCUAAGGCAGAAGGUCUCCAUCUACGACAUUGUUGUCGGGGACGUCGUGCAUUUGUCCAUUGGUGACCAGGUGCCUGCCGACGGGCUGUUCAUCGAUGGGUACUCGUUUUUUGUCGAUGAGUCGAGCUUGUCCGGCGAGAGCGAGCCGGUGCACGUGUCGGCGAACAACCGGUUCCUGCUGGGCGGCACCAAGGUGCAGGACGGGUCAGCCAGGAUGCUGGUGACGGCGGUCGGGAUGAGGACUGAAUGGGGGAAUCUCAUGGAGACGCUGAGCCAGGGCGGCGAGGACGAGACGCCGCUGCAGGUGAAGCUCAACGGCGUGGCCACCAUCAUCGGCAAGAUCGGGCUGGCAUUCGCCGUGCUCACGUUCACGGUGCUCAUGGCGCGGUUCCUGCUGGCCAAGGCCAAUGCCAACGCGCUGCUGGUGUGGGGCAUGGAGGACGCGCUGUCGGUGCUCAACUUCUUCGCGGUCGCCGUGACGAUCAUCGUGGUGGCCGUGCCGGAGGGCCUGCCGCUGGCGGUGACGCUCAGCCUGGCGUUCGCCAUGAAGAAGCUGAUGCAGGAGCGCGCGCUGGUGCGGCACCUGUCGGCGUGCGAGACCAUGGGGUCGGCAAGCUGCAUCUGCACGGACAAGACCGGCACGCUCACGACGAACCACAUGGUGGUCGAGAAGGUCUGGCUGGCCGGCGCCGCCACCACUGUGAGCACUGCCAAGGGCUUCGAGGAGCUCGUCACGGCGUCGGCGUUGUCGUCGGAAGGGUUCACCAAGGUGCUCCUGGAGGGCGUCUUCCAUUGCUCCGGGUCAGAGGUUGUCCGUGGGAAAGACGGCAGGACGAGCAUCAUGGGCACGCCCACGGAGACGGCGCUCCUGGAGUUCGGGCUGGGCGUCGAGAAGCGCACGGGCGUCGACCAUGGCGCCGCGGCGACGAAGCACAGGGUGGAGCCGUUUAACUCUGUGAAGAAGACCAUGGGCGUGGUGAUCGCGUCCCCGAGCGCCGGGGGCAGGCCGCGGGCGUUCCUCAAGGGCGCGUCCGAGGUCGUCCUGCGAAAGUGCAGCGCCGUCGUGAACGACCGGCAUGGCGGCGUCGAGACGCUCACGGAGAAGAACGCGAAAAGGGUGGCCGGCGCCAUUGAUGCCUUCGCGUGCGAGGCGCUGCGCACGCUCUGCUUGGCCUACCAGGAUGUCCCUGUGGGUGCCGAGAACGCGGCGGAGAUUCCUGGGGAAGGUUACACGCUGCUCGCCGUGUUCGGCAUCAAGGACCCGCUGCGGCCCGGCGUGAGGGAGGCCGUCAGGACGUGCCAUGCCGCUGGGAUCAAUGUCAGGAUGGUCACUGGGGACAACAUUAACACGGCCAAGGCUAUUGCGAGGGAGUGUGGGAUACUGACCGAGGAUGGUGUCGCCAUUGAAGGGCCCGAGUUCCGGCAGAUGAGCCCUGACCAGAUGAGGGAGGUCAUUCCCAAAAUCCAGGCACGUACAUUACAUACAUAGCUCCAUCAUCAUCUUCUUCUUUUUUUACUCCAAAUUAAGGAGCCAAGUACAAUGCUAAUAAUAUGUGCUAAUAUUGUAGUUGAUGGCGAGGUCGCUGCCGCUGGACAAGCACACGCUGGUGACGAACCUGAGGGGGAUGUUCGGGGAGGUGGUGGCGGUGACGGGGGACGGGACGAACGACGCGCCGGCGCUGCACGAGGCGGACAUCGGGCUGGCCAUGGGCAUCGCCGGGACGGAGGUGGCCAAGGAGAACGCCGACGUGAUCAUCAUGGACGACAACUUCUCCACCAUCAUCAACGUCGCCAAGUGGGGCCGCUCCGUCUACAUCAACAUCCAGAAGUUCGUCCAGUUCCAGCUCACCGUCAACGUCGUCGCCCUCAUCGUCAACUUCGUCUCCGCCUCCUUCACAGGCAAGAAAUUUUUCUGUGUUCUGUGUUUCCUUAUUCGAUCAGAAUCAUCUGACUUGAUUGAUCUAUAGGGAGCGCGCCGCUGACGAUCGUGCAGCUGCUGUGGGUGAACCUGAUAAUGGACACGCUGGGGGCGCUGGCGCUGGCGACGGAGCCGCCGAGCGACGCCAUGAUGCGGAGGCCGCCGGUAGGGCGGGGGGACAACUUCAUCACCAAGGUCAUGUGGAGGAACAUUGUCGGCCAAAGCAUCUACCAGCUCCUCAUCCUCGGCGUGCUCCUCUUCAGAGGAAAAGCGCUCUUCCACAUGGACGCCGGCGCCGACGAGCUGCUCAACACCUUCGUCUUCAACACAUUCGUCUUCUGCCAGGUCUUCAACGAGGUGAACAGCAGGGAGAUGGAGAAGGUGAACGUCUUCAGCGGGGUCUUCAGCAGCUGGGUCUUCUCGGCCGUCGUCGGCGCCACCGUCGCGUUCCAGGCCGUCCUCGUCGAGCUCCUCGGCACGUUCGCCGGCACCGUGCACCUCAGCGGCAGGCUGUGGCUCAUGAGCGUGCUCAUCGGCUCCGUCAGCCUGCCCGUCGGCGCCCUCCUCAAGUGCAUCCCUGUCGGCUCCGGCGACGGCGCCUCGUCGGACCGCCACGAUGGAUACCAGCCGAUCCCCACCGGCCCGAGUGCCGUGUGAUUUUGAAUACAUUAAUUUCGUCCUUGUUGUUUUUUGUCCGUUUAUUAUUAGGAGAAGAUUUGAAUUUCUUUUGAGGUUUUAAUUAAAAUCGACCGACCUUUCCUGUGGAUACGUAGGAGGACAGGGUACCGGAACAGACUUACACACGGCCAGUGGUAGUGGUUCCGAAUGAUUUGAUUAUUUUUCUAUGUGUUUCUGUGCUUUCUAGCAAACCAUGAUUCCGAUGUUUCAUAGCUGAAAUGAAAUUUGCAGUAACAGUUUGUCAACCGUGUGCAUGGACAAACUCAGUUUUCUAUACGAGAUGCACAUCCACGGGGAGGCUCGUUGUGUAUCCACCACCGGCCUUCUACAAACAGAGGCUGUUCGUUCAGCUCAUUUACGGGGUUUUCUACUUCCCAUGUUAGGCGGAUCUAGGGUGGUGCUUAAAAGAGCAACUAUUAGCUAUUUAAGCCAUAAGUAUGAAAUACCCACAAAUAUAGCAACACUAGAUCCAUUUUAGCACAUCCUUCUGACUCCGCCACUGUUCAACGCAUGGACGUCCUUGCAUGCAAGAAUGUGUUCUUGCAAGCUUCCCAUUCCCAAACAUGUUUGGCAGCACGAAGUCUGCGUUUGGCGUUGCGGUGGAUUCUCAUAAUCCUGUUUUUUUCACCCGUUUUUUAUUAUUUUCGUAUUUGGCUAAUCCACUUUUUGUACUUUCAUGUGUAUUUUCUCACAGCAGAUUAUAAAAUAAGUUCAGUACAGCACAGCACAGUUCCGCAAUGCCAAACUAAGCCGAAGUGUGCAAAGAAGCAAGCUGACUCCUUUAUAAACGCAGUUCAUGCUUAUUACACCAGUCAAUAGGGAAAGCGGGUGGCUGUGCAUCAUUAACAUAGAUUUAAGAUUACAUCAAUUAACACAUAUCUAUGGACAACAUAUGAUAACUCUUUUUACUCCAUGUGCUCAGACUAGAGCCGUACUUUUUCGCUUGUUUUUUUUCUUUUUACUUUUCAAACUUCAAACUUCAAGAUGCUAUCUUCCAAAAUAUAAGUUACACAAAUAUACUGCAGUCAACGUUUUAAAAUUUUGACCAUUUGCAUACAAGUACAUGGAUUGAGCAUGUCAAAUUGAUAUCAUUGUAUAUUUGUAUUUGAAUUUCUUUCGAGACAUUAAUUUCUCGUUGUUGUUUUCCCCCCGUUUAUUAGGAGAAGAUUUGAAUUUCUUUUUAGGUUUCAAAAUCGACCGACUUUGCUGUGGAUACGAGUAGGAGGCCAGGGUACCAGGAACAGAUUUACACACGGCAAGUUGUCGUGGUUCCGAGUGAUAUGAUUUUUUUCCAUGUUAUGUGUUUCUGUGCUUUCUAGCAAAGAAUGAUUCCGAUGUUUCAUAGCUGAAAAGAAAUUUGCAGCAAUAGUGUGUCAACCGUGUGCACCGACAAAUUCAAUUUUCUAUACAAAGAGGCACAACAGAGAGGCUCAUUGUGUAUCCUCCACCGGCCUUGUGCAAACGGAGGCUGUUCUUUCAGCACAUUUACGGGGGGUUUCUACAUCCAUGUAAACGUAUCAACAUUCAAGACCCACCUGAGCAGCAUAGAGACGUCCUUGCACAAAGAUGUGUUCCUGCAUGCUCCCAUUCCCUAACAUAUUGUCCUCUGGUUGUCACGACGAAACAAGGCAGGAGAUCAGCUUGAGUGCACGAAGAAGUCCUCUCGUUGUCACGACGAAACAAGGUAGGAGAUCAGGUUGGCUGCACGAAGAAGUGAGCAAGGAAGCAAGCUGAUUCCUUUACAAAGACAGUUCGUGCUUAUUACACCAGUCAAUAGGAAAAGCUGGUGGCUAUGCAUCGUUAACAUCAAUUUAAGAUCACAUCAAUUAACAUUGUCCCUCCAUUCCAAAAUAUACCUCGUAUGGUUUGAUGCACUUGGACCAAAGGACAACCCCUCUGCGCACUGCAAGGAACAGUAUCAUAUGAGGCUAACUUUGCGGCAAGCGAAACCGAUGAACAAUGAAGCCGGCGAGUUGUAUGCCGCCACACCUGUUUGUCACACCAUUCCGUCGGUUUUACACAAGAACGACUCGCAGACCGAGCAGCACAUGGUAGUUCCAACGUUCUGUCUAGAAAUUGAAUGGAACCGAGUCGUUCAGCUUACUGACGAAGGUUUUCUACAUACAUGUCACUGCCCAUCACGACUAGAGUAACAUGGAUGUCCUCACUCACAAAAGAUGUGUUCCUGAAUGCUUCCCACUCCCAAACAUGUUGCACUCGUCGUCCGACACACAUCAUACUAAUUUGUAUCGCUCUCCCGAGUAUGUGCCCAAAGCUAUAGAAACUCCUUUAUAAGGGGGUGCUAUAGAGACGGUUGGUGCUUAUAGAUCAGUCAGUCACCAAGGAAAGUGGGUGGACUUAAUGAUCCAUCCAUUCACACCAAGUUAAUAUCAACGUGUAGCUAUUUUUAGUCAGUCCAGGCUGGGCUUAAGAGGUCAAUUUCCAGAAAUUACAUGGACUGCCCCCCCCCCCCGCAAAGUCGCUCUUGUGUUGGCCCGGUGCUGGGCUGAACACCACUUGGCUGGCGCGGCUACGAGGAUUUGGGGGAAAAUAUCCAGUGUAUAUGUGGUUCAGGUGGCUUUAACGGGAUAACGUGGGUGCCUUCUCGCCCACAUCUUCCGGAGGCGUGUCACCCACAUCUUCUGGCAACCUCCAUCUGAUAUUUUCCCCUUUUGUUUCCUGUUGUGGUCAUCAGACGUGAAGCGAGUAUAGCUUGUUUUGGAAGGAACGUUCGUUUUGCUACUACUGUACGUUCUUUAAUUUGGAAGGAACUUUCGUUUGGCAGAGCAUCAGUGAUGAUCGAUGUCCUCCAGUUCUUUUCUUCUUCCCUUUUCUGUAGCUUAGAACUGUGUCAAAUUGCUUGAGUCCAGUGUCACAAUUUCGAUUCGUUUAAAGGUUCCACGAAUUUUAUUAAUUAUGCCGGACGAGGCAAGUUCAGUUUGUUGCUCCAUGGAGCCUGCCAAAUCAAUCAAAUUAGCAGAUCUCGUUUCAGUAACUCCAGAGAUCUCCGGCGUCGCCGUGGCCGUAGUCUCCGCUUUCCCAGCAGGGCGCUUCGGCGGUGUCCGGCGGCGGCUCCAUGAGCAGCCCCUCGGCGAGGUCCGCGUAGUGCAUCCCCAGGUCCAUUUCGCUCGGCAUGUCGAGCUCGAGCUCCAACUCCAACAUGCCGCUCCCCAUCGCCAUGGGUGGUACUGGCAGUGGCACCUCAAACAGAACUCCAAGGAACGAUGGCCAUGCGCCGGCGGCACCAUGAUCCACAGGAACAACGGCCACAGGAACCACGGCCACAGGGAUGACGACGGACACGAUGGAGGGGGCGGCCUCCCGGCUUAGGAAGCCGGCGACGGCGACGACGGCGGCGCAGCCGAGCGCGGGCGGCGUGGCGGCGGCCGAGUCCGGGAAAUUGAGGAGGCAUGCCGCGGCGGACGGCAGGAGCGCGAGCAUGGCGGCGUCGUGGGCGCGGCCGGCGGACUCGGCGGUGAGGUGCGUGCCGAGCCAGAGGCGCUUGCCGUGCGCGCCGGGGACGCGCACCUCGCACACCCACCGGCCCGCGGCGGCGGCGCCGCGGCUGCGCACGCCGCGGUACACCGGGUGGCGCGUCUCCUUGAACUUGGUGCGCCCCGCCGGGCGCUUCGACCACACCGCCAAGCCUUCUUGCCGGUCGUGCGAGGAGGACGACGAGGAAGGGGAGCUGAGGCAUCGAUCGGAGCCGUCCAUGGCCAUAAACUGCUGGGAAGAUGAAGUAUCCAGGAGGGUCGGUGUUCAAUGGAGAUUGAGCUUUGAGCUGGAGAGUUGAGUAACUCUAUGGUGGUGUGGAGUGUGCUCUUUUAUAGAUUCGCGUUAACAAAGCCAGGCCAGGAAAGCCGGUGCGAAGCGACGCGUGAGGUUCUGUUCUGCAGCGUUGAGCAAAGGCAGCAGCUUCCUGAGCCAGAGUCACCUGUAGUAGCUAAAUAUCUGGCCAAAGGGACAUCUCGCUUGUUGGCCUGUUGGCCAUAGGAUGCACCGGAGGAGCCCAGAGAGCGACGUGCAGUGCGAGUGAAGCCAAACUAGCGAGCGUCAGGGAUAUUUUCCGUCUCCGGCCGGUAGCUCUAAACCGGCACCUGCCUGCCUCGAUCCACAUCUCUUAGGAUUAGCUAGUAUUUCUAUUUCUGGAGCAGUACAUCAUCUUUUGCGAGUAGGUCAUCGGCAGCAACAACCAUCGUUUUUCAACGCAGCCGUUCAUGUGUCGCUUUCUUUUCAUCUUUCCCUUUUCUGUAGCUUCCGAGAGUAGAAAGAAACCAGAAGCUUAAUUUCGCAACGAAAUGGCUCAGUGAACCCACUGAGAUCAAGGAGCAGCGCCUGCUUGUAUUUUCUCCCGCAGUCGUCUCUCUCGGACACCAUUCGUGGCAGGGUUAACUAUGAGAGGAAGUAGUGUGCUUUUUAUAGCUAGGCAGUUAACUAUGAGAGGAAGAUUUUUCUAAGAUUCAUAGAUCACAAAAUAGGGUCAGUCAUGAUCUGACGGCUUUUGUCAGAACACCGCCUGUUGGAUCCGUUGUAAUCCUCUUGCUUCGGGAGAGACGGAUGAUGUAACCCUUCGUUGAUGCAAUAUAAUUUCUCUAUCAGCAACAACAACAAAAACUGUGAGGGAAGAAGUUUGCGCCAAAAAAUAUAAUUAAAAAAGUUAAAUGGACCGGUUAUGCCUUUUAGGUCCGAUUUUCCAGCACCAUUUAGAUCGGGUGCGCACCCAUUUAGUUAGGAAAAGAGGCAGAUGGGGAGGGGGUAACUGCACCUGAUAGUACCUUAUAGUAUAUAUACAUAUAUGAAAUAAAACUUUGUAACAACUUGACAAAAAUGUUGAAUUUGGACUAUACCAACACUUGAUUAGAAACACACCAGAUAGUUUCUGAUUUUCAAAGUAUCUCAAGAAAACCCAUGAAAUUUGAUUUAUCACUUAAGAUCAUAGUUUGAGAUGUGAGUUAAUUAAUAUAAUAAUGGCAUUUUAUGCCUGUAUGAAGUAUAAAUGCUGCGAAUAUUAAAAACAUGUUUUGUUGUCACAUUCAAAAUCAUCCACCAUCGAUCACAAAUGUUGCAGAUGAAACCUUGGUCACUAGGCCGCAGGUCAAUGUAAAUAGCGCGCAACAACAUAGACAUUUCCAGGCCUAAAUUGUGAAGCGACAACGGACAAUUUGUGGGCAUCUUGUUUAGUGUUAUCCUCCGUCUCCGGACGUGGCCGCAGCAAAGAUCGCAGCUUGUUUAGCGUCCAUUUAUGAUGUAGAACCUGGUUUAUGCGGCUGAUGUUGCAGCCUGGUGAAUUUUUCUAGGCAAAUUCACAUAAAUCUCACCACGAAGUGUUUCGUAUUGACCGGGGUUAUGUUCCUGGAUGCCUUCCAUUCGCAGCAGCGUUGCACACGUCUAAAUUUUGGUGCAUACCAUAUCCCUCUCCGUGGAACCUCAGAUGUAUUCCUGUUAUUUAUAGGUGCAUUAGCUCCAAGUUUUAUUGGAAGAAAUAGUUACUCCAGGUCAGAAUUGCCCUAUGGACUUAAUGCUUGGUAUAUUGUCACAACUACUGGAGACGAAUCCUAUAACUAUUUGUAGGAUUUGAGACGGGGUGAGUAAAGCGGAGGCUGUACCCAUAGCGGUAUCUACCCGUAUGGUUGUAGCCACACAUUUCGUGUCAGACAUCGUAUCAGUUGCUUUGUUUUAUAUUAGAGAGAGAUAAUUAGCAGGGAUGUUUUAUAUUGGAGAGAGAUAAUUAAAGGAGGAGUACUACUUGUGUCAGCUACUUUUUGGACGUGACACCUGAAAACUUUUCAUUUUCUUUGCUUCUCUCUCCCUUGCGUCAGGCACUCACAUUUUCUUUCUCACUUCUUUUCUUCCCGCUCGUACUUUUCUCACACCUUUUUAUAAUAUAUUUUAUUCUUUUGUACAUGCAAUUUUAGAGGGCCACUUGUUUCUUUUGUACUGAUUUUACUCGUUUGUACAUAUUGCAGUACGUCAGGUACAUGUACACCAAAUGAUGGUACAUAAACAUAUUUGUUAUCUAAAUUUAGAUAGUACGGGAUAUGUUAAAUGCACACAAGGCACAUCAAAUUGAGUACACCAUGAUCCAUGAUAAUGAAAGUUAGUAUAUCAUCUCAAUACUUAGUACCUAGUCUGGUUGUACAUCAUAGUACAUAGCAAAUACAUCAGGGUACAUGUCAAGUACAUUACAAUAGAUGGCAAUAUACGAUCAAUUUUAUGUACCUCAUGAAUUUAAGUACUCUGUCAAUACUUAUCUACACUACGAGUACAAUUAAAAGUACGAAGUACCUACUCAACCUUAGUACCUCAUCAAUUUAAGUACCUUGGCAAUACUCAUCUACACUACGAGUACAAUCACAAGUACUAAGUACCUUCUCAACCCUAGUAUACCUUCUCAACUUAGUACCUCGUCUGUAAAUACUGUGUACAUCAACUCAUAAUUGUACGUCAUGUACCAGGAAAAAAAUCACAGCACAAACAUUCAACCAAACUUAGUUCCUCAUCAUGUACAUGUACCAUGGUACACAAUACAAGCAUCGCCAGAAAUUUAACAAUUCGUUCAGAUACCUUCCUAAAGCAGCAAGAAACAAAUAAGAGUAUGGAGAUCAAACAAAUUUUAGAAGCUACCUAAAACACUAAGGUACCCCUUGCAUUUUUUUUUUCUUGCCCAUGCUCUCAAUUUAGAGACGAAACCACAAAAUCCAAAAACAAAACAAGAAGAUCUAGCCUCACUCGUGGUACCACGGAUAGAGGAUGAGUACUGGAGACAGAGAUGGAGCUUGGUCGCAAUAAUGGAAGUCGGCCGCUAGUGAGACAGUGGAGAUUAGUCUCCUUCAACUGCAGCUCCCCCGCCUUUUUCUCCACUUCUGGCUGCUCCUUGCGGCCAUGCCGGGCUGCUCCCAAGCGCUAGUGGCCGGAGAGAGAGAGGGGGAGGUAGAGAGAUGCCAAGCGCUAGUGAAUGGAGAGAGAGGGGGGAGGGAGGGAGGGAGAGAGCUAGAGCCAAGUAUGGGAGGGGAGGGAGGGAGAGAGGGUAAGAGAGAUAAAGCCUGGGCAGCACGUGGACGUUGUGGCAGAGAUAUUAGCAGAUGGGUGUCAGAGUGAUCAAGAAAAGGAAAACACACGCGUUGACUAGAGACGAUACGGGUAGAUGCCGUUAGCGGCACCGAGAGGUUUGGCGGCAAGGAGGCCGCAACCUGACAAGGCAGAUGCUUGUCGGCAUGCACAUGCACUCUGUAUCAGCACUGCACAUGCUCUUUUGCGAUCGGUGUGGUUGAGAUAUUUUGCCAAAAUACUAAACAUAGAAAUACUCUUUAUUUACAUUGUUUUCACUGUUCUAUGUCACAUAUUAUCCUAGAGUCGGUUGCUGUUUUUUUAAACAGUUUUGCUAUUCAAAAGUCGUAUGUUUUUCAGUUAGAGAAUAGGCGACAUGUUUGGCCAUCGGAUUUUAAUCCAACGAUAUCACGUGGGAGAUGGAAGAGUGAGGAUGACCAUUAGAUCUUAAUCCAAUGGCUUGACACAUCAACUGAGAUUUCAGACAUUUUGCUUAAAAAUCAGGUGACUGAAAAAUAGCUACACCCUUUUAAAAAAAGCAGCUCUUAAUAAUUCAUCAAAAUGUCGAAAGUAAACAGCCGAGUCAAACAUCAGUGCCUAUUACCCCAGCUCUUAACAUUUUCUCCGUUUGAAAUAAUUUCAUGGUCUUUUUUAUAAACUCGACAAGACAUAAUUUAUGCUCGGUCUCAGAUGACUUGGCAUUAUGAAACUAUUGACAUGCUCAAUGUGCAUGCUCUGACAACUGAUGGCGUGCGCUUGCCUGACCAACAUCAAGGACCAAAGCAAGGGAUCAUGGUAUUUUAUUUAGGACAGUAAAACUGAGCACAAUCUCAGCUCUCUCAGGCCACCUGAAUUUUCGACAGGAGGCAGGGUAUUGGAACAGACUUGCACACGGCCAGUGGUAGUCGUAGGUCCGAGUAUUUUGAGAGUGAAUUCCAGUUUUGACCCACGAGUUUGACUUUUUUGACAGCUUUGACUUCAUUUAGUGGGAUUUUUAUUUUUUGAUCCCAUUUAGCAAAACUUGUGCCACUAAUGACACCAUUUAAGAUUUUUGCCCAAAUCUCCUCCCACCCCAUUUUUUUCUUUUUCUCUCUCUCCCCAUUUUUUAUGCUUCUUGGCGUCUGUUAUACAUAGGCGGUUUAGGUUAUGUUUGGCAGCAAAGUACUCUAAAAACUAAGGUCUCGGCAAACCAUACUAUUUUAGCCUAUACAUAUAGGAUACUACAGUUGUAAGAAACUAGGGUAUUUUAAAGUAUCGAAAAAACAUUGACCUGUUUGGUGCUCUAUUUACCAUGCUAAAAAAAAUUUAGCUAGCCAAGCUGGAAGUUCAAGGAGCUGUUUGGAUCAUGCCCCAGCCAACCCUGCCAAAAUUGGCACGCUGCCACGAUCUCGCCAACACGCGGACGCAAACAGAAUGCGGUUACCAAAUGCGUGGUUCCAAUUUUCUGACGUUGAACCAAACUGAAGCCACGGUAGCGGUCAACGACCAAAUAAUUGGCAGGGCAAGUUGCGGUUGCAAUCCAAACAACCCCCAAAUCCUCUGGCCGCCAUACGGUGGCAUGCUGCAGCAGCUGCAGCUCACGGAGACAUGGCGCCAUGCUGCUCGUUGUUGAUCUUGCUUGUCCUAGCCGCGUCGAGUAGCCGGGCAAUCUCGCUCUGCAGCUCCCUGGCAGUUGCGGAGCGGCAAUGGCAAGCUGCAGCGGCAGCGUGAAAACCUCCCGCAGCCGGCAUAACAAGCUCCCGCGGCCGGCGCCGGAGCUCGGGCCAGACCGCGAGCUAGCCUGCGCAUCUUCCACAUAGCCGCCGUCGUUUGGGCAAAAAUCUUAAAUGGGUCAUUGGUGGCACAAUUUUGCUAAAUGGGGUUAAAAAACGGAAAUCUCACUAAAUGAGGUCAAAAUUAUCAAAAAAUUGAAAGUUGGGGUUCAAAGAAAUCACUCGAGUGAUUUGAGUCUUUUUCUCUGUGCUUGUUUACCAUCAUGUGCUUUCUAGCAAACCAUGUUUCUGAUAUUUCACAGCUGAAAUUUCUAGCGACAGUGUGUCCCAUUGACAAAUUCAGUUUUCUGUAUUUAGAAACAUAUAUGCGGAGAGGCUCAUCGUGUAUCCACCACCGAAUCAUUGUGUACGGUAUCAAUAGAUCCUGCUGGUUGAGCUGAUUCAGGGGUGUUUUCUUCAUCCAUGUCAGUAUCUAUCACCACACACGUGAGCAGCACGGACACACUUACACGCAAGGAUGUGUUUCUGCAUGCUUCCCAUUCCCAAACACAUGUUGCCCUCUACAUGACCGAUACACAUCGUGCUAAUUUGCAUUGCUCUUCCGAUUUUAUGUAGAGAUCCUGUAUCAUGACGAGACGAGGUAGGAGAUCAGCUUGGCUGAAUGAAUAAGUGUGGAAGAAAGCAAGCUGAUGACUCACUUUGCAAGGACAGUUCGUGCUUACUUACACCAGUCACGGAAAGUGGGUGGCUAUAUAUCCUUCCAUUUUGACCAAUUUAAGGUCACAUAUUUUAACACCAAUUUAAGAUCAACAUUUAUCUCUUUUUACUCCGUGCUCAGACCAGCGCGUUUUUUUUUCACUUGAUUUUUUUUACUUUUCAAAGCCUUCAAGAUGCUUUGUUGAUUUCCACAUUUACAAUUUUAAAUUAAAAUGCAUUCUAAAUAUAUAUAAAAUGUUCUAGCUAAAUUUAUGAAAAGUAUACCAAUAUCGGCAUAUCAAAAUAAACUAGUAGAAACCAAACCAGUUCAUUAAUGCAUUUUGAUGCCUGUGAGCCACAACAAUUCAACUAGUGCCUUAUUACAGACCAUUCAGCUAACACAUCUCAUCUGAAGUUAACUCCUCGGAAAACAAAAACAAAUAAACGCCGAAUUCGGCGAGUUGUAUUCCACCACAUGCUACCAUUCUGUUGAAUUUGUGCAUACAGAACAAUGAGCAGAUGGAGUAGCACAACGUGUUCUCUACCGUCUAUCUAGAAAUCGAACAGAGAUGAGUCGUUCAGCUGAUUGACCAGAGUUUUUUACAUCCAUGUCACUGCCUUCACGAGUAUCUCUAAGGAUGUGUUCCUGCAUGCUUCCCACUCCCAAAUGGCAAGAUGUCCAGUUGUCGGACACAAAUCGUACUAAUUUGCAUUGCACUCCGGUCUCCAGAGUGUAUAACCAUGGCAAGAUAAAGUAGCAGAUCAGCUUGGCUACUAGGAUUUGGGGGAAAUAUCUAGCGUAUGUGGUCAGGUGGCUUUAACGGGCUGAGGUGGGCAGCAAGGGCCACGCAUCCGUGCCUUGCAAGAGGCAAGGCACUGGAUCUCUGUCCCAGGUGGCUGCCCUGCCCACAUCUUCCGGAUGCGUCUCACCCACAUGUUCUUUUCUGUUGUGGUCAUCAGACGUGAACCGACGAGUAUAGCAUUCUUUGGAAGGAACGUUCGUUUGGCAGUGCAUCAGUGAUGAUCGAUGUCCUUCCCCUGCCUCCAGUUCUUUUCGUCUUCCCCUUUCCGUAGCUUAGAACCGUGUUAAAUUGGUUGAGUGUAGCGUCAGAAUAUAUGGUCCUUCAAGGUUCCACGGUUUUAUUAUGCCGGACGAAGCAAAUUCAGUUUGUUGGUUCCAUGGAGCCAAAUCAAGGCAGGAGCAGAUCGUUUUCAGUAACUCCAGAGAUCUCCACCGUCGCCGAAGUCUCCGCUUUCCCAGCAGGACGCUUCGUUGGUGUCCUGCGGCGGCUCCAUGAGCAGCCCCUCGGCGAGGUCCGCGUAGUGCAUCCCCAGGUCCAUUUCGCUCGGCAUGUCGAGCUCCAACUCCAACUCCAACAUGCCGCUCCCCAUCGCCAUGGGUGGUACUGGCAGUGGCACCUCAAACAGAACUCCAAGGAACGAUGGCCAUGCGCCGGCGGCACCAUUAUCCACAGGAACAACGGCCACAGGAACCACGGCCACAGGGAUGACGACGGACACGAUGGAGGGGGCGGCCUCCCGGCUUAGGAAGCCGGCGACGGCGACGACGGCGGCGCAGCCGAGCGCGGGCGGCGUGGCGGCGGCCGAGUCCGGGAAAUUGAGGAGGCAUGCCGCGGCGGACGGCAGGAGCGCGAGCAUGGCGGCGUCGUGGGCGCGGCCCGCGGACUCGGCGGUGAGGUGCGUGCCGAGCCAGAGGCGCUUGCCGUGCGCGCCCGGGACGCGCACCUCGCACACCCAACGGCCCGCGGCGCCGCGGUGGCGC